Molecule: long non-coding RNA, 47921 nt
Filed under: Malus domestica (apple)
Lineage: Eukaryota; Viridiplantae; Streptophyta; Magnoliopsida; Rosales; Rosaceae
Description: long non-coding RNA (MDOM_LNC006097)
Source: RNAcentral
ACAAUCGGUUUGAAAGAGUUCUAAUCGCCCACUGCCUCGCUAAAAGGAACCUAAUGGAUCGUACACUGUGUAAGGUAAAGAUUGAAGAAACAACGAAGAUGAGUAAGAAUAAUUAAAUGGUUUAAUUAUUUAUGGCAAGAAUUAAUUAAUAUGUUAAUUAAUCAAACGAAUAAGUUCGUUAAAGACCUCGGGAUAGUUUUGGACCUUAAGGCCCAAUGGGCUUCGAACGUCAAGUCCAUUGACUUAAGUUGUAUGACAACUUAAUGAAUAAUGAUUCACAAAGGCCCAAAUAGUCCAAUGAAUCCCUAUGGCCGGCCAUUUAGAGAUGGAGUGGGUUUUGGACUUAUUUACAAGUUUGCCACUCCAAUGAAUUAAGGUAUAAAUAUGACUUUAUAGCCAAAAUUCAUUUAGGGUUCUUUUGGAGAAAAUUGGAGAGAACAUGUCUCUCCUUUUUCUCUCUAGGAGGCCGCCCCCCUUGGAGGGAUUAGCUAGCAAUCCCACUCCUCCAAGGUCACUCAUUUCUUCAUCAAUCUUACCUUGGUGUGGAGACUUAGAGGUUCUCUAUUUUGAGAACUUGGAGAAACCUUUUCAUCCAUCCAAAUCCAUAGAUUUAAGAUGCAAGGAAUGAAGGCCCUCUUUGGGUGAUUAGCCUUUGCUUAUACAAAGAGGAAUCUACAAAGGUAUAAUUUCUCAACUCACUUUGAUUUGAGUUGAGUCUUGGUUCACCAAUCUACUAGGCUUUGAAUUUCAUGGUUAAUGUUUUGUUUUUAAGUGCAUGCAAGCAUGAUUCCGCCUUUUAAUUGUUAAUAGCAUGCUAUAGAUGUUGCUUAAAUGAACAUGUUUUCACAAAAUCUUCAUUCACAAACAGUGAUGGGACAAUCUACGUUCGUGCAUAUAUAUAUAUAUAUAUAUAAUUUAAUGUGUUUAUUUGUAUAUGAUAUAUGAGUACCCCACUGAUGGAUUUCUUUGCUGUAAUGCUAGAAUUCUUUAAUUUUGAGAAGACAGAGCAGGAUGUUGAGACAUUCACGAAGCUUUCAGAGAAGUGGUAGUUGGUGGCGGAGUGAGCAGGACGUGGAUGUACCUGUGUUUUAUGCUGCCUAGGGUUUGUGCAAGAGACUGCAACCGGGUUUCGCUGUGUAGUGCCUUUUGAUCACAGUUUUUCUUCGGUGGUGCGCUGCCUUGUGGUGUUGUGCAAAAGACUGCAGCGAGGCUUCAUUGUGUAAUUGAUAGGAGCAUAUUUAUGCGACUUAGUUAGCUUGUUUCUUGGCAUUUAUGUUGUUAGUUCGUAGUUAUUUUAGUAUUUUAAGCUAUUUUCGUGUGUUUGUAGGUCCAAAGGGUUAAUGUGGCAAAGAAGUGCAUUUUGGAGCAUUUUUGGGCAUGGAAUGGAUAGCAUAUGCUUGGAGCAAAAGGAAUGGACGAAAUUUGAAGUUUGUGCAUCAUUCUCUCCCUAUAAAUAACCAUUUUAGCACACUUAUUUCACCCAACACAUCCACUCAUUACAACCACCCAACACAUUCACCUACCACUACAUCCACUCAUUUCACCCAACACAUUCACUCAUUACAACCACCCAACACAUUCACUUACCACUACAUCCACUAAUUUCACCCAACACAUCCAUUCACCUACAACUACAUCCACUCAUUUCACCCAACACAUCCACUCAUUUCAACCACCCAACACAUUCACCUACCACUACAUCCACUCAUUACCACCACCCACUACAUCCUCUCCCUAGCCUAUAAAUAUAUCCAUCCAAAGACACAUUUAGGGAGACUGUUUUGGGAGAAGGGAGGAAGACACAUUCUGCCGCAAGGCAGAGUCUUUUCUUCUUAACCAUUCUACACAUUCCCACAACAAAAACACAAUUCCAUGCACCUUCAUUUCCCUUUCCUUGCCGUGACCUCCAUCCAACCUAAACACAUUCAGCCAUUCCCUUCUAUAUAUCUAUAUGCAUCCAUCAAACCACACCUUGUGCCGCAACAAAGAGAAGAAGCAGGACCCUUGGACGUGCUUGCCAUUCAAGUUGGAUUGUUGGAGCGUUUUUAGGUGUUUUCAUUCUUUUGUUUUCAAUGUCUAAAUUUAUUUAUGUUUGCUUUAUGAGUAUGAGGAACUAAACCCCCCUUAGCUAGGGGGGAAUUCAAAGCCAUGAACACACUUGCAAUAUGAAUUGAUUACCUUCAGGUUUGAUUUCAUAAGUUGUGAAUUCAAUUUGUUUAAUUGCUUGAUUGAUAACUUAUUCGUGUAUGUUUAUUAAGAGUGCACACUUAGUUUGCAUGCAUGAAUAUGAUGCUAGAGUAUAAGGGAGUUUCACCUAAUAGUUACAAACUUAUAUUCACAAGUAGUGGAGGUCGCUUAUAAACGAUCGCAUUAAAUGAAUUCUUGGCAGGAGUUUCAUGCUCAUCAUAGUAACGAAUGCCUCGUCAAUACUUAUAGUUUUCAUAGUGCUUAAUGAUCUUUGAUUGUAUCUUUAUUGUGUUAUUCACGAAAAGGACUUUUGAAGAAUGCUUGAAUUGUUGUAUGCGCUUUCCUAUCCAAUUCAAUAACUUAAGGAGAACUUGAAGGUUAAUUUAAGCGGACUUAAUUAACCUGGGGUGUUGAGUUUCAUGAUUUAUCGAAAGAAUAAUUGAAAAUUGGUUUAUGUGCAAGUGUGUCAUGUGUGGAGAAGAACCCUCUAGCUAGCCCAUCAUCCAUAGUUUACCCAAAUUCGUCCAAAAUCUGUUUUAGUUUACAAUAUGUUUGUUUUGUUUUCAAAUUCAUCAAAAUCAAACCCCUCCUUACUUUAAAGUGUUUUAUUAGUCAAAAUUUGUUAUGAUUUGUGUUUUUAAGUGUCUUGAGUCAAGUUAGAACCUAAUUUUGUCCAAAACCAUCCCUAGAGUCAGUUUAGAGUCUAAUUCAUUGUUUUAAGCUGUUUUGUGUCUUUUUAGUUUGUAUUGCAUCUUUUGAGUCUAGUUUGGUGUUUUAACUUACUUUUAUGUUUUUAAGUCAGUUUAGAGGUUAUUAGCAAGCCCUCCUAAUCCCCGGUCCAGAACGAUCCAUACUUACAUUCUUUACUACAAUUGAUACAUGAGGGUUUAAUUUGUGUGUUAAGUAAAAUUCGCACCAAAUUUUUGGCGCCGUUGUCGGGGAUUAGCAACUUUGCUAAUCCCUUGUUAUUUCUUUUUGUAUAUUUUCGUGUCUUUUGUUUUUAGUUACUGACUUUGUUUAUGUUUGUGUUUUUUUUUUGUUUGUUUUACUUUUGAUAUUUGAUUUAGUUUUGUUUCCUUGAUUUCAGGUACUAGAGAAGUAAGACAUGGAUUUUGCUACCAUUCAAGCUCAAUUGGCGAAACUUACUUCUCAAUUGUCACAAUAUCCCGAAAGGACCACAAUGCAAAGUGUCCCUACAUAUGGUGUGUCCUAUGGGCAAGGAUAUCCAACUCAUCAAUGUUCUCAAUUCGCUGCGAAUGAAGAUGCUUGGGGUUAUCAAGGCCAUAACCAAUCAUGGGACAACAUGUUUUCCAACGCUUACAAUUCAGAUUGGAGAGAUUAUUCAGAUUACAUGUGGGGAAAACCUCAACAAUUCCAACAAGAUGGAUAUUGGCAGCAAGAAGAGGAGUUCUAUUCAAGACCUAUGCAGCCACCACAACCUCUUCCACAACAAUUCCAAUCAAAUUCAAGUAUGCCUAUGAGUUAUGAUGAAAUUCUUGAUGUACUAACCUCGUUGACGCAGAGCUCACAACAAGAAGAAUAUUUGCCGCCAUCGGAUGAGUUCUAUCACUGGCCAUAUGAACCAUCACAGCCACCACAACAAUCUGCCCAAUUCAAUUCAGGUACGUCUUUGGAUAAUGAUAUGUUUAAUAAGUUACUCACCUCUUUGAACCAGGAAGUAGAAAAUCGAAACAAAGAGAUACAAAAUCAAGCUAAGAAGACGGAUGAAUUGGAGAAGCAAAUUGGGCAGAUUAUGAAGUUCAUGGCACAAAUUCAAGAGCAAAGUGAACUCUCCAACUCAACUAUUGAAAAUUUGAACGAAGAUUUUGAAAUCCAUGAUGCUAUCACUUUGGGAAGUGCUAUGGAGGUUGGAGGUGAACCCAAGACAUCCAAACAAAGCCAAAACAUGGAUGAACAGCUGCUGCUCGAAGAAGAGGAGAAUAACAAAGCCACGACAAGGGAAGAACCACCCUUGCCGCAGCCCCAUAUGCCCUCUAUGCCAUCCACUACAACCAAGGUAAGCCUAAAUUCAAUUUGUCCUGACCCCGUUUCACUAAAUGUCCUUAUUCCUUGCAGGAUCAUGCAAUCCAAGGAAGAAGAGGGUGAGAAAGGCAUCUUCGAAACCUUUCCAAAGAAUCAAGAGCAAGAAGUGGAUGAGGAAUGUCUAAAAUUCAUCAAAGAAGAUACACUUGAGACGAAAAUUCCCAAAGAAGUUGGAUUUUAUGACAUGGGAAAAGUCAUAACUCUCAAAACACCAAAUCUGGCCAAGUCCCAUAUCCCUGAUGUGGUGUUCGUAAUUGAGUUUGUGUUGGAGCAAGCAAGUAAGCCAUUUCUCCAACUUCGAUUUUAUUAUAUACUAACUUGCUGAUUUUGAUGAUUCAGGCACCUACACUAGAAUUUAAACCAUUGCCGGAUCACGUCAAGUAUCACCUUCCAUUCAAGGAUCAAUUCCAUGCUAUGGGCCCUAUCCAAGUUUAGAAAGAAGUUUCGUCAAGCUGGAAGACGUUAAAGCAAGCGCUUCUUGGGAGGCAACCCAUGUAUUCAAAUAAGGAAGAUUUUUGAAUUGCUCCACGAUUGGUUUUGCGUUCCUAAAAACCUUCCAUUUUCUGCAGUUUUAUUUUGCCAUGAUUGUCAUUUUUAUUUGUUGCUUGUUUAAUUGUUUUUGGUGUGGGUUUAUUUUUGAAACAUUGACAGAUAUGCAAGGUAUUUUACAUUUAUUUUCAUAAAAAAAGGGAACAUUAAGCAGAAAAAUACAAGAGAGAGCCUUCACAAAGGCUGCUUAGGAGAAGUAUCAGUAGUCGGCAGAGCCUUAGCAGUCGGCGGAGCCCCAGAAGGAGGAGGCAUCAGAGGUUGAUCAUUUGGAGCUUCAUUACGCGGUACAGCCCCAGAAGACGAAGGCAAAUGCUGUUGGAAAAAACCCACAAACCUCUGAUGAUCAAGUAAAAUUUGACCAUCAGAUUCCUGCAUCUGGUCAAUCUUCCUCUUCAUGUUUGUAGCAUAGUUAUGUGCGAGCAUGUGCAACUGUUUAUUCUCAUGAUUGAGCCCUCUAAUCUCCUAUUUGAGACUCAUCACUUCAGCCGACAAUGAUUCAACUUGACGGGUUCGAGCAAAUAGACGUUGGGCCAUAUUGGACACAGAACUUGCACACUGCACACUGAGAGCCAGAGAAUCCUUAACAGCCAACUCAUUAGAUCGUUUGAAAAGUAGUCUAUUAUCUUUGGGAGUGACAAGGUUCCGGGCCACCACUACAGCGGUUAUAUCAUUCUUCAUUACUGAAUCCCCAACGGUAAGAGGACCAGUAGGGGAUAUGAAGGAUGGGCGCCAUAUGUUGUCUGGAGAAGGCAUGGAUGCCUCUUCACCAAGGUUCAAGUCAAAACAACGGUCGGAAGGGCCAGACAUUUUCAAAAGGUCGAAAAGUCAAGAUCGUAGAAGUGCAAGAAGGGAGUUUCUACAAGCAGAAAUUCAAGUGUGCGUUGAAACGUACUACAUACCUCUAUAAAAAUCAGCACUCGACGGGAUUUCAGAGAUCGAAGAGGCGAGCUCAGAAAUUGAAGAGGCCAAUUCAAAAAUCGAAUAGGCGCUAGCUUUCUCAAAAGUUGGGCUUGCUCAGAAACCACGGGCCAAUCUUCUUUUCCAGAUUUGUUCGCACUUGUCACAUGCAACCUCUGCACUCGACGGAGCUCAGAACUCGAAGAGGCGAGCUCAGAACUCGAAGAGGCAAGCUCAGAAAUCGGAGAGGCAUCUGCUUUUCCAGAUGUGUCAGCUUCUGUCAUAUACACACUCAGCUUUGCAGAAAUCACGGGCAGUUUGUCGAAGCGCCGAUUUCAGAUAUCGAAAAGGCAUCAACUUUAUCUAGACGUGUCAGCGCCUGUCACAUACACACUCAGCUUUGCGGAAAUCACGGGCAGUUUGUUGAAGCACCGAUUCCAGAUAUCGAAGAGGCAUCAACUUUAUCCAAACGUGUCAGCAUCUGUCACAUACACACUCAGCCUUGCGGAAAUUACGGGCAAUCUGUUGAAGAUUUUUGGUGAAGUAGAAAGCACGUGAAGUUUACUGUUCAAUCAUCCAACAGUUGUCGACAAGAGUGAAAGAAUAGUACCGGUUAUUAUUUCCUAUAAAUGUUGACCUUCACCCUCCAUAGCAAGGCAGACAUACAUAACCUUCCGUCAUCUCCGAGAAUGCCUUCCUAAUGAAGCCUCUCGAGUCACUCAGUGUUCCUUAUUCCUUGGGGUACCUCUAUAAACAACUCAUCCAAAGCAAAAGUAUUUCAUAUCAUGAAGGUUGAAAGCAAGAGUAUCUCAUAUCAUGCUUUCUCCCUAUCCUUCUCAUUGUCGUUGUUUUCAUCUGUGGGACAAGGAGAAAUAGAGCAAUCAGCCAGCACUUGGUAUCAAUCUUCCGAUCUGGAACCGACUGCCUGGAACCCCUUCCUGAUUGCUUACCUAGUCCUGCUCUCGAGUACUCAUCUUCAACAUCUUAUGCUUCUAAUUCGUCUACCACAUCUGCCUGGGGAACAAAUAAGGGAAGUGAAAAUGAUACCUCGAAGCAUGUGGAGACAAUGUGCUAAUUCAUCCUCAGCUAUGGACAAGGAGAAAGAAAGCAAGAGGUGGGCACUUGGAAAGAUUGAAGAAAUAAACAGACCAUCACCUCUACCUCGUGCCUGCCUGCCGUGCAGAAGAAACAAGCAGAGAAGAAUGCAGACUGCACAAUCAAAUAAACCCAGCAGAAUGAGUCUGAUUUGAAACCAAGGAACUCUCACUCAGAAUUCUGAACCAGUUCGAGAUCAAAGCUGUGGAAAGACAACAAGAUCAUCUAUCUCCAAAACCAGAUUUGCGUUCUUAAACUCUACUCUGUCUGGUUUUUACUUUGCCAUACUUGUCAUGUUUAUUCGUUGUUUGUUUGAUUGUUUGCUUGUGUUUGUGUGAGUUUAUGCUUGAAACAUUGAGGACAAUGUUCGAUUUAAGUGUAGGGGGUAACCAAGUUGUUUUGCAUGAAAUUCGUGGGAGUUUAUCACCCAUUACUUCUAAGUGUUGUUCCUUGCUGUUUUUAAGUGUUUUUAAGCUGUUUUGAAGUGCUUUAGUGUGUUUUGACAUAAAAAUCCGAAAAUCUCAUAAAAAUUUGAAAAAUUGUUUUGAAAAACCCAAAAAGAGUUGUUUUUGUGUGUUUGUUUGUGUCUUAGGGUACCUUCCAACACAAUGAUGAGGAUUUGGUUUUUAAUUACAUGACUGUUAAAGAGAGUUAUAAACAUGGAUGAAAAUUUGAUUUACUCUUUGGUGUAUGCUUGGUUGUGGUUAUAAUUUAUGAAUUCACAUGCAAUCAUAAAGGAAAAAUCAGUUUUUGUAACAUGCUUGAAAGAAGGACCUCAAAUGAACGCUACAACCUUGUGAGACUUGAGCCUAAACGUUUAUUUGGAGAGUUAAUAAUUUGUGCAUCAUUGUUUUCUAAAGUCGUUGCAUGAUCUCAUUAUUCUUUGCUUGGUUGCUACUUAGAAGGCGUUUCAUCAUUUAGUUCCAAAUGCUAGAACUCAUGCCUAUUUCAUUCAAAGCAUGUUAUUGAUUUGCAUAACACAUAUUCAAGAUGAAGUUGUGUAGUGACCACCAAAGCCAAAUUGCCGUGCCCCUAUUUCAUUAUGUGUUUAAGUUUAACCCCGUUGAGCCUUGUUAAGCCUAUGUUCUUUGUUAACCCACACUAUCCUUACCUAGCCUAGUGUUAGGACCAUCCAUACCCUUGUUCUUGAAGCAUAGUAAAGCAUGACUUAAAAUGAACUCCUUUUUUUAUCAAUGUAUUGCAGAAAGCAAGUGUGGGGGAAGUGAUUCUUGUGUGUGUGUGUGUGUGUGUGCCAAAGUCCUUAAUAAGGCACGGGUAGAAAAGAAAAAAAAAAGAAUUGAAAAAAAAAAGUAUGAAAAGAGCUCUAAAGUGUUGUUUGUUAAAGAAAGGGUUCAAAACAUUGAAUUCGGCCCUAAGUGUUGCAUAAAUGUUCCCUUUGUAAUUAAAAGUUGAUUCUGCAUUCUAAAGUGAUUUCCAAGUGUCUAUUUCAUUGCUUUGCUUGCUAUCGCUUUAAGAACGUUUGUUAUCCCUAUUCUUUCUUUGUUAGCCAUUACCCCCAAGCCCUGUUACAUCCCUUGACUUCAAUCUUGAGUGUUGUGUGUUUCAAUUUGUGGAGUUCGAAAUUGGUAUGAGCAUAUGGUGUCACUGGUUCUCGCAUCUAAGUCGUAGCAUUCCAUUCAUGAGAUCAUAUCUAAACAUGCUUAAUAACUCCAGAAAAUUACUUUCUUUGUUAUAACAUAUGUGAGUCCUAAUCUUUCAUGUUUACAUCAAUCUUCUCACAUAUACUAGUAUAGGGUGUGUAGUCAGAAAAUGUGUGUGAAAAUAGAGAGUAUCUUGUAAGGAAUUGAGCAAAUUCUCUAAGGCAUGUUACUACAUUCAAAACAUUGUUUUAAUUGGUUAAUUGUAAACUAGUAAGUGGUGACUGUGAUUAAGUAUGUGCUCAAGUGUAAGGAUGACCAAAAUAUAUGGGAAUGAUGAUUUUUAACACAUCAUGUUUCAUUAAAAAUCCCUGAGGCAAUUGUUGGAAGGUCUAUGUUGUGUUUUGUUUUGUUUUGUUUUGCUCGAGGACUAGCAAAAGCUAAGUGUGGGGGAAUUUGAUAGGAGCAUAUUUAUGCGACUUAGUUAGCUUGUUUCUUGGCAUUUAUGUUGUUAGUUCGUAGUUAUUUUAGUAUUUUAAGCUAUUUUCGUGUGUUUGUAGGUCCAAAGGGUUAAUGUGGCAAAGAAGUGCAUUUUGGAGCAUUUUUGGGCAUGGAAUGGAUAGCACAUGCUUGGAGCAAAAGGAAUGGACGAAAUUUGAAGUUUGUGCAUCAUCCUCUCCCUAUAAAUAACCAUUUUAGCACACUCAUUUCACCCAACACAUCCACUCAUUACAACCACCCAACACAUUCACCUACCACUACAUCUACUCAUUUCACCCAACACAUCCAUUCACCUACCAUUACAUCCACUCAUUUCACCCAACACAUCCACUCAUUACAACCACCCAACACAUUCACCUACCACUACAUCCACUAAUUUCACCCAACAUAUCCAUUCACCUACCACUACAUCCACUCAUUUCACCCAACACAUCCACUCAUUUCACCCAACACAUUCACCUACCACUACAUCCACUCAUUACCACCACCCACUACAUCCUCUCCCUAGCCUAUAAAUAUAUCCAUCCAAAGACACAUUUGGGGAGACAGUUUUGGGAGAAGGGAGGAAGACACAUUCUGCCGCAAGGCAGAGUCUUUUCUUCUUAACCAUUCUACACAUUCCCACAACAAAAACACAAUUCCAUGCACCUUCAUUUCCCUUUCCUUGCCGUGACCUCCAUCCAACCUAAACACAUUCAGCCAUUCCCUUCCAUAUAUCUAUAUGCAUCCAUCAAACCACACCUUGUGCCGCAACAAAGAGAAGAAGCAGGACCCUUGGACGUGCUUGCCAUUCAAGUUGGAUUGUUGGAGCUUUUUUAGGUGUUUUCAUUCUUUUGUUUUCAAUGUCUAAAUUUGUUUAUGUUUGCUUUGUGAGUAUGAGGAACUAAACCCCCCUUAGCUAGGGGGAAUUCAAAGCCAUAAACAUACUUGCAAUAUGAAUUGAUUACCUUCAGGUUUGAUUCCAUAAGUUGUGAAUUCAAUUUGUUUAACUGCUUGAUUGAUAACUUAUUCGUGUAUGUUUAUUAAGAGUGCACACUUAGUUUGCAUGCAUGAAUAUGAUGCUAGAGUAUAAGGGAGUUUCACCUAAUAGUUACAAACUUAUAUUCACAAGUAGUGGAGGUCGCUUAUAAACGAUCGCGUUAAAUGAAUUCUUGGUAGGAGUUUCAUGCUCAUCAUAGUAACGAAUGCCUCGUCAAUACUUAUAGUUUUCAUAAUGCUUAAUGAUCUUUGAUUGUAUCUUUAUUGUGCUAUUCACGAAAAGGACUUUUGAAGAAUGCUUGAAUUGUUGUAUGCGCUUUCCCAUCCAAUUCAAUAACUUAAGGAGAACUUGAUGGUUAUUUUAAGCGGACUUAAUUAACUUGGGGUGUUGAGUUUCAUGAUUUAUCGAAAGAACAACUGAAAAUUGGUUUAUGUGCAAGUGUGUCAUGUGUGGAGAAGAACCCUCUAGCUAGCCCAUCAUCCAUAGUUUACCCAAAUUCGUCCAAAAUCUGUUUUAGUUUACAAUCUAUUUGUUUUGUUUUCAAAUUCGUCAAAAUCAAAUCCCCCUUUACUUUAAAGUGUUUUAUUAGUCAAAAUCUGUUUUGAUUUGUGUUUUUAAGUGUCUUGAGUCAAGUUAGAACCUAAUUUCGUCCAAAACCAUCCCUAGAGUCAGUUUAGAGUCUAAUUCAUUGUUUUAAGCUGUUUUGAGUCUUUUUAGUUUGUAUUGCAUCAUUUGAGUCUAGUUUGGUGUUUUAUACUUACUUUUAUGUUUUUAAGUCAGUUUAGAGGUUAUUAGCAAGCCCUCCUAAUCCCCGGUCCAGAACGAUCCCUACUUACAUUCUUAACUACAAUUGAUACAAGAUGGUUUAAUUUGUGUGUUAAGUAAAAUUCGCACCAGUAAUGCCUUUUGGUCACAGUUUUCCCUUGGUGGUGAUGUUGCCGUGCACAUUGACUUUGCUUCUUGCCGUGAGCUUUUUGUCGUUGCUGCUUGGAGCUUGUUCCAGUGCGUCACUUUUACCAUGUGGGGUUAUGCAAAAGAUUGUAGCGAGUUUAUGUUGUGUAGUGCCUUUUGGUCACAACUUUCCUCGGUGGUGAAGUUGUCGUGCACAUUGACUUUGCUGCUUGCCGUGGGCUUUAUAGCCGUUGCUGCUUGGAGCUUGUUCCAGUGCGUCAUUUUUACCAUGUGGGGUUGUGCAAAAGACUACAACGAGUUUAUGUUGUGUAGUGCCUUUUGGUCACAACUUUCUUCGGUGGUGACGUUGGUGUGAUGCUCACCUUUGUAAUACGACUUUGUAACCAAAUCAUUCCUUUAAAGAAAUAAAGUAUUCAUAUUUUGAAUUUGCUUUUUAUUGUUCAAAGUGUUUGUGUUUUUGUUGGAGAUGUGACUGUACUCGAAGUUUUGAAGUUUCAAGUUGCCUACGUAUCCUCGGUUGAGGAAGGAUCAAGUUAUAACGUAGUUCAAAUGCAUUUUUUUUUAGAUGGUGUGACUGUACUUGAAGUUUUGACAUUUCAAGUUGCCUACGUACCCUCGGUUGAGUAAGGAUCAAGUCAUGACGUAGUUCAAAUGAGCGAUGAAUAUUUUUUUUAAUGGUUUUAGUGGUGAUUUUGAUGAUGAUUUUGCCGUACACAGUUUAUGCUCUUGCAGGACAGGAGCGUUGGUUUGUGCGAACAAGAAGCAUUAUGCUGCCUCCUCAGGCGUUGUAUUGUUUUGAGUUACGAAACUCUAUGCAAGUGCGGAGUUGCCCUGAUUUUUUUAGGGCAACAUUUAAGUUCCGUCCCGAGUCCAUGACCUCUUGAAUUAAAUCAGCUUCAAUCAUGUUGACAAUCUUAGCUUCAUCUAGGCUUGAAAGUGUAUUAACAAUGGUUUCUUGCCCACUUUUCGACCAGUGAAUUUGUGGAUGCAACGUAGGCUUCGUGUGUAAUUUCUUUAGAGUGACAUGAGUCAAUCCUUCAACUUUGCUUGACUUGGAGCAUGCCCCCGGCAGUUGUGGUGAAGACUUUGAGUCGAAAGAGCCAGAAGUGACGUCUUCCUUAGGGAUUUCAUCUUCUUUGUUUUCUUAGAUCGUGACGGGGAAGAUGUUUUAGACCUCCCCUUUAGUGCCGUCCUCUUGGGCUUGUUGGCAUGAAGAUUGUCCAGUGUGGAUGAUAGUGCGCCUUCUCACUUUCAAUGGUCCAUUUGUGUCAACCUCCAAGAUUGCUUGGCGCUUCAUCCUUGAAGGAAUUGAGCUUCGAAUAUCGCAUUUUUCUGCUAGCCCGUUGAGCUUUUCUUCCUUUGACGUUGUCUCCCUAUUUCUAGAAAGCUUCUUAUUGUCUUCAAGUUUUUCCAAGGCUGACCGACGAAGAGGAGAGCUAGCCGUGUUGCUUUGCUUCUUAGGUUUUGACAACCUUUAAAAAACAGAGCUUCGAGAUGUUGGUAUGUUAAGCCUCUUGAAAACGGAAGUUCGGUUCUGACCACCAAUGCGAUUAAGUGCUGAAAUUCUGGGCCUUGAACACUGCAUCCUAUCGAAGACUGACGUCCGAGGGGUGGAUUUAGGUUCCUCUUGAUCGUGUUCAAUGCUCACGCUGAUGUGUUGAGUGCUAGCAUUUUUCACUUUGCUUGAAAUCUUCAUGGGUGCAUUUGGUGUGAAGCCAAGUCCAGCUUUGUUAUUGUCAACUCUGUAACCAUGCUUCUUCAACUUUUUUUAAGUCUUGGUGAGGUUACAUUCUUUGUCAUUGACGGUGUUUGAAAAUUUCUUUCCAGGACUUGACGAGGAGGCGAAGUCGUACCCAGCCUUAGACAUGAGUUUGUAAGCGUUUGGAUCAAAACCUUAUUCAGUCCUUUUGGUUGGAAGAAAGCUUGGUUCCAUCUCUUUUGGCAGAGCUUUUAUGAAGCUUUGUGGUAGUCCUGUAGCCUUAGCGUCGUUUAGCUGUGUUAAGGGCAAAAUUGCAUUCGUCUUGUGCAACUUUACGUUAUCCUUGUGCCGCUGUGCAUCGGCUUUGCUUACUCCAGUUUCAAACGGGGAUUGACCAUUCUUUCUUCUUGACAUCAGGAUGUAUCGGAAGACGGGUGUGCUUAGUUCAUUUGAGGGCAUCCUAUUCCCUUUGGUUGUUGCAGGUUUAGCAGGCUCAUCAUCAUUUUUGCUUGAAGAUGGCGUAGCUUUUCCUUCUUGCUUUUUGGGCAUGGCUUGCCACUUCUGCUUUUUAGGUGUUGCUUUGAUCAUGGAUUUGAUCUAUUCUAGAAGAGCUUCGGGCACCAUGUCUUCUUCCAUGUAAAACUUGGCGUAUGCGAAGUGUGAUUCGGCUUCGGUGAAUGUCUUGGUAUCACCUUGGAUCGCCUUUACUCAUUCCUGGUAGAAUUUUAAGCAUUGGUGGAGGGUGGAUGACACUACUCCAUUCUCGUGGAUCCAAGGCCUUCCUAGCAUCAAGCUGUAGGAGGUUCUUGCAUCAAUCACGUGGAAUAUUAUGCUUGAUUUGAGUUCUCUAAUGGUCAUUUCCACUCGGAUCAUGGCCAUCGCCCUUUCUCUUCCUUGGUUAAAACCCUGGAUUAGCAGACAGCUUAGGGACAGUUCAUCCACCUUGAUGCCGAUUGUGGUCAUUGUUGACUUUGGCAUGAUGUUUAUGGCUGACCCAUCAUCUACAAGCAUGCGAUUGACUUUGUGCUCCCUUACGAACCCCGAGACAAAGAGAUGAUGGUUGUGAGGCUUUGAUCCUAGCAGUAAGUCUUCGUCAGUGAAGUUGAUUGCGUCUUGGGCAGCACAACAAGUGGCAUACUCAUGUGGUCGAAGUUUCAAGCCUUUGUCCUUGCUUUCUUGUGCUUCGUGGUCAUUGGGACUCGCCAAGACCGCUGCUAGUGCUUUUCGCAUCUUCUUUGGUAAUCGUAGCACUUCCUCGAUGCUAAAGUGUAUCGGCAUACCUUCUUUAGAUGUGAGGGCAAUUUCUCCUUCGAUGGCGAUGGCUUUGCCUUUUGAAGGUUCUUCCAUUUCUACUUCGACCAUGUGACAUGCAGCGAUAUUGCACUGUUGGAAGAAGUCAUUCGGGAAGUACUAGUGCAAGGAGACUGGAAUGCGUGGCUCUUACUCCAUAGGUUCCCCAGCAUACGUUGGCUUGGCAGCUUUUACGUUUCUUUUAGGCUUCCUACUGUUGCGGCGACGGUGCUUUCACCCUUGUUCCAGCCUUAUGGCUUGUGGUUUUGGUUUCCUUAUUUUUUUGUAGGUCACCAAUGUCUAUCCUUCUUCAUCAUCGGUAUGUGCAUCUUGGUCGCUUGCUCCCAGUGAUGGUUGUGCAGAAGGUGCCGUGCAACUUGAGCAUUGACGGAAAUGGUUAGGUGUCACUUAGUGAGGCACGGGAUCGAAUGAUCCAAAUGCAAUUGUAGUAGUAUGUGUUGCUGCCGUGUCUUCAAGGUCAAGCUCAAUUUUCCCUUGUUGAGCUAGCUUCAUGUUGAGUUUUUUGAGGACGAAGCACUUGCUAACAGGAUGGCUCAUGAUACAAUGGUACUUGCAGUACCUAGGACCGUUUACGCGAUUUAUCUCUUCAGGGUGCUUGCAUUCCGGUAACUCGAUCACCUUCUUUUUCAGCAAGUCGUUUUAACAUUGCAUCCAUGUCUGAGUUAGGAAAAGGGUACACCUUCUGCUCCAAUUCCAUCAAGGUGUUUUUGUACCUGUCUAGGGUGCGAGGAGGCUCACCUCUCUUUAUCUCCUUUGCUUUGGUCUUGGAGGAGAUCUUGAUAGGCGCGGAUGAGGUCUUGAUGGGCGUAGUGUUGACGGUGAACGCUUCUAUGUGAGGCUUCUUCCCAGUCUUGUCUACAUUUGGGGAGAACACCUUAUCCUUCUUGAAGUCAGUGAUCAGCUAUUUCUUCCCGUGAUUGGCGAUACUUAGCUCAAUGUCGUGGGAACAGGUUGCUAGCUCCUCAAACGUUCUUGGUUUUAUGCCCUGAAGGAUGUAAUGUAACCCCUAGUGCAUGCCUUGAACGCACAUCUCAAUGGCGGAGGUUUCAGAAAGCCAAUAUUUGCAAUCCAGACUUAACGAACAUCAUCUAUUGAUGUAGUCGACGACUGGUUCAUCCUUCCAUUGUUUCGUACUGGUCAGCUCCAGCAUGCUUACAGUGUGGCGCGUGUUGUAGAAGCGGUUGAGGAAUUCCCUUUCUAGUUGAUCCCAACUAUUGACACAUUCGGGCUCGAGGUCGGUGUACUAGUCAAAGGCGUUACCUUUCAACGAGCGCACAAAUUGCUUGACGAGGUAGUCUCCCUUCGUCCUGGCAUUGUUGCAGGUUUCAAUGAAAUGGGCGACAUGUUGUUUUAGGUUUCCCUUUCCAUCGAACUGCAUGAAUUUUGAUGGCUGAUAACCCUUCGACAUUUUCAAAUCCUUAAUCUUCUUAGAGUAAGGCUUUGAGUAUAGUACAAAGUCAUGUGAGCUUCCUUCGUACUAGGCCUUGAUGGUGCUGACAAUCAUCUCCUGCAGCUGCUGGAUAAAAAGAGAUCCCAUGAGUGCUGCUACUUGGUCUGGCUCUAGAUUAUCUUUGAUUUUCUCCACUGGAGGCUCCUCUUUUUCAUCGGCUCAUUUCUUUAGUGGAUCAACCCCUGGCUCGACUUUCACGUCGAGCUUCGCAUCUAGUUGGUUGAUGAGUACGGCGAUUUACAAGUCUUUAUCCUUCACAGUCCGUGUGAGUUUUGCGAUCACUUCAUUCAUUUGAGCCAGCUGCUCAUCAAUUGAAGUUGCUCCAGUAGUCAUGACUUGCAUGGUUAUGUUGCUGCUUGAGUCGACAUCGGAAAGUAAGGCCUCUGAGUACUUCCUUGGGCCUUCCUCUCUUGGCACCCUUAGCGAGGCCAGGGUGAUCACGGGCUCGUGCCACGGGUGCUCUUGUUCCUUCGGUGGAGUUGACGCAGGGGUGGAAGAGGUGGAAAAAAGAGCUCUUGCCUUGCUUCGAGUUGUGACGUCCGAAGUGACACCAUCUGCGGUGAUGACGCUUUUAUUCUUUGCAUUGGUUGCGAGAACAUCUUGAAUCUUCUUUGAUGCCAUUUGCGCUUUUUGCGGAUUCGAAGAUAGAGAUGAGAGGUAGAGAUAGUCCCACUGGGCGUGCCAAAUUUGUAAACACGAAAAUUCUUGCAAUGAAUGAGACAAGAACACGUGUACAAAAUAAUAUUUGUAUUAAUGAUUUAGAGGUUACAAUCUUUUCUACAAAUUUAGCCUCUGAUUCGAUCUUUGUAAUAUGUAGAUUUGUGGAUUGUGCUGUUGGUCCAAAGGGCCUUCGAGGCUUGAUCUUAGGAUGAACCGGUGAUGAACGAUGAACGCUUUCUUCAAGGGGUCGUCGGGGCAUGAUCUUGAAUUGGUGGAAGUUUUCAAGGGCCGUUGGGGCUUGAUCUUGAAUGAGGAUUUGGUGGAAGUUCCUCAAGGGCCGUUGGGGCUUGAUCUUGAAGGAAGAUUUGGAAGUCGUCAAGGGUCGUUGGGGCUUGAUCUUGAAGGAAGAUCUUGAAGGAAGAUUUGACGAAGUUCCUCAAGGGUUGUUGGGGCUUGAUCUUGAAGGAAUAUUUGACGAAGAACGAAGAGAGCUUUCUUGAUCCUUCGAGAUUUGCUUGAGAGCUUUGGAGUUUCAAGGCUUCAAGGUUUUGGUGUGAUGUGAAUUCGUCUUUUUUUUUAUAUCCUUUGAUGGAUAAACCUAUUUAUAGGCUUUGAGAAUGAAUCACCACCAUCCAUUUUUUUGGUGAAGUGAGUGGAUGUUGUAGGUGAAGUGAGUGGUUGUUGUAGGUGAAGUGAGUGUAUGAUGUUGGUGAAAUGAGUGAAGGUUGUAGGUGAAGUGAGUGUAUGAUGUUGAUGAAAUGAAUAAAGGUUGUAAUUUUAAUGCAUUAGUCAACAUUUAUUUCACUGAAAUUUCGAUGUCUACAGCCCGUUUAUAAUGUAACCUCCCGCACCCUAUGCUCACAUUGGAUCCAAUUUAGGUGCACAGUCUUGUCGUACAGACCAUCAUAGGUGGUUUCUGAAGGAAAAAUUUUGUCUUAGCAAAGAACAUGUGAGAAUAUUUGAACACAUAUGCAAACUAUUAACAUAUUAAAGUAGGCAUGCAUUCAAAAACAAUUCUAAAACCCAUGACUUUCAAAGCCUAGUGAAUGGUGAACCAUGAGACUCUUCAACAACAUUAAAGAGAAGGAAGGAUUUAGAGAUUCAUUACCCCUGAAGCUCAUCCUUGUUUACACAAGGGAUUUGAUAAGCUCAUAUUUAUAUAUAUUUUACAUAAAAUUCACUUGUCUUUUCUUAGUUAGUUCCUUAUAUUUUUGAGCUAUUUACUAUGUUUUUGUGUUUUGUGUGAUUUAUCAAGCAAAGAAAAGAAAAGUAGCACAAGUGAAUUAUUAAGUAACAAAUUCGUCAAAACUGCCUGUGCAGAUUAUCUGACUUUGGAAGCAUGUUACAAACAGCUCAGAAUGAAUGGGUGAAUGAUCCUUAUAUGCGUGGAAAGCUACGGAUGUCUAUUUUCUGGAGCAAUUUACGGAUUGUUAAUCUCAUUUUUCUAGAAGAAGUUAUGGGCAUUGUAACACUGAAAGGUCAGAAAAGGGCUAAGCAGAUUUGGCUAAUAAAAAGAGAAAGGCAACACAUGGGCAAAGGAAACACACACACAUGGGCAGAAAAUGGGUGGAUUGUUGGCUGAAAUAAUGAAGAACAUGUGUCUGCAAAUGCAAAGGAAAAAAACACACACACAUGGGCAAAGGAAACACACACACACACAUGGGUAGGAAUUGUGGGUGUUUGGUGGUUGAAAUGAUGAAGCAUGUGUGUGUAAAUGUAAAGGAAAACAUGGCAGAAAAUGUGUGUGUUUGGUGGUUGAAAUGAUGAAGCAUGUGUGUGUAAAUGUAAAGGGGAAACAUGACAACUCACACCCACACAAGAUGCACAUGCAAAGGAAAUGGAGUGGUCCUCUCUCAAGCCUAUAAAAUACCACCUCCCAUAUUCAUCAACACAACAGAUUUUGAUCCUUGUUUGGCCGAAAAUUCCCACCUCCAUUCUCUCCAAAUUCAGCCAAAAACCACCCCUAGCCACACCACCCAUCAAUCCUAAACCUUUCCAUACCAUUCCCCAUCCAUUCUACACCAUAAAAACCACCCAAAACCGUCCAAAACCUCUAGUGCCGCUGCUUGCAAGGAAGGAAAGAGAAGGAACAUCUUGUGCCGUGCCUAUGCCCAAGCCUUGGGAGUGUUGGAGCGUUUCUAGGUGUUUUCUAUCUUUGUUUUUAAUGUCUAAAUUUAUGCAUCUUUGCUUUGUAAGUAUGAGGAACUAAACCCCUAUUAGUUAGGGGGUGAUUCGAAACUAUGUUCAUGCUUGCAAUAUGAUUUGAUUACAUCCAGUUGUGAUUCAUAAGUUGUGAAUUCAAUUUAGUUAUCCGUUCGUAUAAAAACUGAUUUAUGUAUGUUGGUUGAGAGUGCACGCUUAAUUUUCAUGCAUGAAUUUGACGCUAGAAUAUAAGGGAGUUUCACCUAAUCGUUAUGAACUUAUAUUCACAAGUAGUGAAGGUUGCUAGUCACAAUCACGUUAAGUAAAUUCUUGGCAUAAGUUUCAUGCAAAUCAUAGUAACGAGUGCCUCGUCAAUGCUUAUGUUUUUCAUAGAACUUAAUGAUUCUUGCUUGUAUCUCUAUUAUGCAAUUGAAAAUUCGAGAGCAGAGUGAACUCCCCAACUCAACUAUUGAAAAUUUGAAGGAAGAUUUUGAAAUCCAUGAUGCUAUCACUUUGAGAAGUGCUAUGGAGGUUGAAGCUAACCUAAAAACAUCCAAACAUAGCCUAGAAGUGGAUGAGGAGCUGCUGAUUGAGGAGGAGGAAGAAGACAUACACACGGAAAGGGUAGAACAACCCUUGUCGCAGCCCCUUAAGCCCUCUAAACCACCCACCACAAGUAAGGACGUCCCAAUUUCAUUUCAUUCUAAUGUUAUUCCUCCGAACGUCCCUUUUCCUCUUAGGUUUUUGAUUCCCAAGAAAGAAGAGAGUGAAAAAGACAUCGUGGAAGCCUUCCCAAAGGUGCAAAAUGAUAUUCCAAUUCUUGGUGCAACAAAUCAAGUUCCAGAUUGUGUUGAAAUAUUCAAAGGACCUUGUACACCAAGAAGAAUGAUUCAAGAGAAAGUAGUGGCUGGAGAAGAUGUAGAAUGCAUCAAAGAGGAUGUGCUUGAGACAACCAUUCCUAAAGAAGUUGAAUUUUAUGCAAUGGGACAAGUCCCAACCAUCACAUUCAAUCUGGCCAAGUCCAAUAUCCCUGAAACUUUCAAAUAUGUGGUGUUUGUGUCUCCAAUUUUACAUACGUUUUCCACUAACUUGCUGAUUUUGAUGAUUCAGGCACCCAUACUAGAAUUUACACCAUUGCCGGAUCACUUCAAGUAUCACCUUCCAUUCGAAGAUCACUUCCAUGGAACCUAGGGGAAUGGGACAGGAGGUAUCGUCCGGCUGCAAGACGUUAAAGAAAGCGCUUCUUGGGAGGCAACCCAUGUAUUCAAAAAAGGAAGAUCUAUGAAUCGCUCUACAAUCAGUUUUGCGUUUCUAAAAACCUUCACUUUUCUGCAUUUCUAUUUUGCCAUGAUUGUCAUUUUUUUAUUUUUGUUGUUUAUUUAAUUAUUUUUGGGUGCGGGUUUAUUUUUGAAACAUUGAUAGAUAUGCAAGAUAUUCUUACAUUCAUUUUCAUGAAAAAAAAAAAGGAACAUUAAGCAAGAAAUUAUAAGAGGGAGCCUUCACAAAGGCUGCUUAGGAGAAGUAUCAGUAGUUGGCGGAGCCUCAGCAGUUGGCGGAGCCCCAGAAGGAGGAGGCAGUAGAGGUUGAUCAUUUGGAGCUUCAGUACGCGGUACAGCCCUAGAAGACGAAGGCAAAUGCUGUUGGAACAAGCCCACAAACCUCUGAUGAUCAAGUAAGAUCUGACCAUCAGAUUCCUGCAUCUGGUGAAUUUUCCUCUUCAUGUUUGUGGCAUAGUUGUGUGCGAGCUUGUGCAAUUGUUUAUUUUCAUGCUUAAGCCCUCUAAUCUCCUGCUUAAGACUUAUCACUUCAGCCGCCAAUGAUUCAACUUGACGGGUUCGGGCAAAUAGGAGUUGGGCCAUAUUGGACACGGAACCUGCGCACUGCACACUGAGAGCCAAAGAUUCCUUAACAGCCAGCUCAUCAGACCAUUUGGCAAGUAAUCUGUUAUCUUUGGGAGUGACAAGGUUCCUGGCCACCACCGCAGCUGUCAUAUCAUUCUUCAUCACCGAAUCCCCAACGGUAAGGGGACCAGUGGGGGAUAUGAAGGAUGGGCGCCAUAUGUUGUCUGGAGAAGGCGGGGCUACCUCUUCACCAAGGUUCAAGUCAAAACGACGGUCGGAAGGGCCAGACAUUUUUCAGAGGUGUUAAAGAAAGAGGAGAUCGGACAAGUCAAGAUCGUAGAAGUGCAAAACGGGAGUUCUUACAGGCAGAAAUUCAAGUGUGCUUUGAACGUCCUGCAUACCUCUAUAAAAAUCAGCACGCGAUGGGAUUUUAGAGAUCGAAGGGGCGAGCUCAGAAAUCGAAGAAGCCAAUUCAGAAAUCGAAGAGGCGCCAACUUUCUCAAAAGUUGGGCUUACUCACAAACCACCGAUUUCAGAUAUCAAAGAGUGUCAGCUUUCUCAGCCUCGUCAGCACCCGUCACACGCAAACUCAGCUUUGCGAAAAUCACGGGCAGUUUUUCGAAACGCCGAUUCCAACCAUCUGUCUCUCUCAGCCUCGUCAGCUUUGAGGAAAUCACGGGCAAUCUGUCGACGAUUUCUGCUGAAGUAGAAAACACGUGAAGUUUACUGUUCAAUCAUUAAACGGUUGCCGACAGGAGUGAAAGGACAGUACCGGUUAUUAUUUCCUAUAAAUGUCGACCUUUACCCACCAUGGCAAGGCAGACAUACAUAACCUUCCUUCAUCUCCGAGAAUGCCUUUCCAACAAACCCUCUCGAGUCACUCAGUGUUCCUUAUUCCUUGGGGUACCUCUGCAAACAACCUAUCCAAAGAAAAAGUAUUUCAUAUCAUGAAGGUUGAAAGCAAGAGUAUCUCAUAUCAUGCAUUCUCCAUGUCCUUUUCCUUGUCUUUGUUCUAACCUGCAGGACAUGGAGAAAUUGCUCUCGAGUACUCGUCUUCCACUGCUGAUGUACUUCCAAAGAAGCUGCCACAUCUACCUGAAGAACAGAUAAGGCAAGCGAAAAUGAUACCAGCAGCAUGUGGAGACAACGUGCAGAAGAAACAAGCAGAGAAGAAUGCAGCUUGCACAAUCAACCCAGCAUAAGGAGUCUGAGUUGAAGAACUAGAGAAGCUGCCACAUCUGCUUGGAGAACAAAUAAGGAAUUGAGCCUGCACAAUCAACUCGAGAGCAGAAGGAGUCUGAGUUGAAGAACUCAAGAAGCUUCAACAACAUCGCCAAAGAGCAAAGCUUCGCCGUACAAUUCCAAUCCAGUUCAAGAUCAAAGCUGUGGAAAGGUAACAAGAUCAUCUACCUCCAUAACCAGAUUUGUGUUCCUAAACUCUACUCUUUCUUGUUUUUACCUUGCUAUACUUGUCAUGUUUAUUCGUUAUUUGUUUAUUUGCUUGUUUUUGUGUGAGUUUAUACUUGAAACAUUGAGGACAAUGUUUGAUUUAAGUGUGGGGGGGGUAACCAUUGUUUUGCAUGAAAGUCGUAGGAGUUUAUCACCCAUUACUUCUAAUGUUGUUCCUUGCUCUUUUAAGUGUUUUUAAGCUGUUUUGAAGUGUUUUAGUUUGUUUUGAUAUAAAAAUCCGAAAAUCUCAUAAAAAUUUGAAAAAAAUUGUUUUGAAAAACCUAAAAAGAGUUGUUUUUGUAUGUUUAUUUGUGUCUUAGGGUACCUUCCAACACAAUGAUGAGGAUUUGGUUUUUAAUUACAUGACUGUUAAAGAGAGUUAUAAACAUGGAUGAACAUUUGAUUUACUCUUUGGUGUAUGCUUGGUUGUGGUUAUAAUUUAUGAAUUCACAUGCAAUCAUAAAGGAAAAAUUAGUUUUUGUAACAUGCUUGAAGGAAGGAACUCAAACAAACGCUACAACCUUGUGAGACUUGAGCCUAAACGUUAUUUGGAGAGUUGAUAAUCUGUGCAUUAUUGUUUUCUAAGUCGUUGCAUGAUCUCAUUAUUCUUUGCUUGGUUACUACUUAGAAGGCGUUUCAUCAUUUAGUUCCAAAUGCUAGAACUCAUGCCCAUUUCAUUCAAAGCAUGAUAUUGAUUUGCAUAACACAUAUUCAAGAUGAAGUUGUGUAGUUACCACCACCAAAGCCAAAUUGCCGUGUAUCCUACUUCAUUAUAUGUUUAAGUUAACCCCAUUGAGCCUUGUUAGCCUACGUUCUUUGUUAACCCACGUUAUCCUCACCUAGCCUAGAUUAGGACCAUCCAUACCUUUGUUCUUAAAGCAUAGUAAAGCAUGAUUCAAAUUGAAUUCCUUGUGAUUAUGUACGGCAGAAAAUAAGUGUGGGGGAAGUGUUUCUCAUGUAAGUAGUGUGCCAUAGGCACGGGUGGAAAGAAAAAAAAAAAUAUAAAAAAAAAAAAAAAAGAAAAAAAAAAAAAAAAGAAAAAAAAAGUUGAAAUUUGACCCUAAGAGUUGUUUAAAUCUUUCCCUUACGUCUAAAAGUUGAUUUCUGCAAUCUAAGUGAAUUAUAAGUUCAAGUUCAUUAUUUUAUUUGCUAUUGCUUUAAGAACGUUUGUUUUCCCUUACCUUCAUUUGUUAGCCAACACCCCAAGCCCGUUACAACCUUUGACUUCAAUCUUGAGUGUUAUGUGUUUCAAUUUGUGGAGUUUGAAUUUGGUAUGAGCAUAUGGUAUCACUGGUUCUCGCAUCUAAGUAGUAGCAUUCCAUUCAUGAGAUCAUAUCUAAACAUGCUUAAUUAACUCUAGAAAUCGCUUUCUUUGUGAAUACAUAUAUGUGAGCGUUCGUUUUCAUGUUUACAUCAAUCUUCUCACAUAUAACUAGUAUAGGGUGUGUAGUUAGAAAAUCUGAGUGAAAAUUGAGUGAAUAUCUUGUAAGGACUUGAGCAAAUUCUCUAAGGCAUGUUACUACAUUCAAAAUCAUAUUUUAAUUGGUAAAAUGUGAACUAGUACGUGGUGACUAUGAUUAAGUAUGUGCUUAAGUGUGAAGAUGACUCAAAUCUGUGGGGAUAAUGAUUUUUAACAUGUCAUGUGCGUUCGAAAUCCCUAAGGCAAACGUUGGAAGGUUUAGGUUGUGUUUUGUUUUCUUUAUUUUGCUCGAGGACUAGCAAAAGCUAAGUGUGGGGGUAUUUGAUAAGCUCAUAUUUAUAUAUAUUUUACAUAAAAUUCACUUGUCUUUUCUUAGUUAGUUCCUUAUAUUUUUGAGCUAUUUACUAUGUUUUUGUGUUUUGUGUGAUUUAUCAAUCAAAGAAAAGAAAAGUAGCACAAGUGAAUUAUUAAGUAACAAAUUCGUCAAAACUGCCUGUGCAGAUUAUCUGACUUUGGAAGCAUGUUACAAACUGCUCAGAAUGAAUGGGUGAAUGAUCCUUAUAUGUGUGGAAAGCUACAGAUGUCUAUUUUCUGGAUCAAUUUACGGAUUGUUAAUCUCAUUUUUCUAGAAGAAGUUAUGGGCAUUGUAACACUGAAAGGUCAGAAAAGGGCUAAGCAGAUUUGGCUAAUAAAAAGAGAAAGGCAACACAUGGGCAAAGGAAACANAGUAGUAGCAUUCCCAUUCAUGAGAUCAUAUCUAAACAUGCUUAAUAACUCCAGAAAUGCUUUCUUUGUAAUACAUAUAUGUGAGCGUUCGUUUUCAUAUUUACAUCAAUCUUCUCACAUAUAAUAGUAUAGGGUGUGUAGUUAGAAAAUCUGAGUGAAAAUUGAGUGCAUAUCUAGUAAGGAUUGAGCAAAUUCUCUAAGGCAUGUUACUACAUUCAAAAUCAUAUGUUUAAUUGGUUAAAUGUGAACUAGUAAGUGGUGACUAUUGAUUAAGUAUGUUGCUUAAGUGUGAAAGAUGACUCAAAAUCUGUGGGGAUAAUGAUUUUUAACAUGUCAUGUGCGUUGGAAAUCCCUAAGGCAAACGUUGGAAGGUUUAGGUUGUGUUUUGUUUCUUUUUUUUGCUCGAGAACUAGCAAAAGCUAAGUGUGGGGUAUUUGAUAAGUCAUAUUAUAUAUAUUUUACAUAAAAUUCACUUGUCUUUCUUAGUUAGUUCCUUAUAUUUUUGAGCUAUUUACUAUGUUUUGUGUUUUGUUGUGAUUUAUCAAUCAAAGAAAAGAAAGUACACAAGUGAAUUAUUAAGUACAAAUUCGUCAAAACUGCCUGUGCAGAUUAUCUGACUUUGGAAGCCAUGUUACAAACAGCUCAGAAUGAAAUGGGUGAUGAUCCUUAUUUGCGUGGAAAGCUACGGAUGUCUAUUUUCUGGAGCAAUUUAGGAUUGUUAAUCUCAUUUUUUCUAGAAGAAGUUAUGGGUAUUGUAACACUGAAAGGUCAGAAAAGGGCUAAGCAGAUUUGGCUAAUAAAAAGAGAAAGGCAACACAUGGGCAAAGGAAACACACACACAUGGGCAGAAAAUGGGUGGAUUGUUGGCUGAAAUAAUGAAGAACAUGUGUCUGCAAAUGCAAAGGAAAAACACACACACACAUGGGCAAAGGAAACACACACACAUGGGCAAAGGAAGGGUAGGAAUGUGGGUGUUUGGUGGUUGAAAUGAUGAAGCAUGUGUGUGUAAAUGUAAAGGAAAACAUGGCAGAAAAUGUGUGUGUUUGGUGGUUGAAAUGAUGAAGCAUGUGUGUGUAAAUGUAAAUGCAAGUGUGACAUGUGUGGAGAAGAACCUCCUAGCUAGCCUUCCAUCCAUAAGUUUCAUUCAAAUUCAUUUACAAUUUGUUUUGAUUCACCCAAAUUUGUCUAAGAAUCUGUUUACUUUGUUCUUGUCUUAAUUUAAUUAUUUUCGUCCAAAUCAACCCCAUUUUUUCUUUGAGUCAUAUUAAUUAGAAUUGUCUUAGAUUAUGUUUUUAAGUGUUUUAGUCCAUUAGAAACCAAAAUUCGUCCAAGUUUUGUGUAGGUGUUCAAAACUGCCCAGAAGUGUUUUUAAGGCAGUUUUGAGUGUUAUUGCUGUUUUGAAUCUUUUGUUUUCUUAGUAUUUUAAAGUAUAGUUUUGCAUUCUUUGAGUCUAGUUUAGUGUUUAAACUUUGUUUUUACGUUUUCAAGUCAGUUUCCAAGUGAUUUAGCAAUCCCUCCUAAUCCCCGGCCUAGAACGAUCCCUACUUACAUACUUCACUACAUUUGAUAAAAAGAGGGUUUAAUUUGUGUGCUUAUAUAUUUCUCUAGGUAUCCGUUCAGAAAGGCUGUCUUCACGUCCAUUUGCCAUAUCUCAUAAUCAUGGUACGCAACUAUAGCAAGCAAAAUCCGAAUGGACUUAAUCAUGGCUACAGGAGAGGAAGGUUUCUUCAUAGUCAAUCCCUUCUCGUUGCCUAUAACCCUUGGCUACUAGUCUAGCCUUAUAAGUCUCCACAUUCCCAUCAGCGCCUAGCUUCCUCUUGAAGACCCAUUUGUUUCCAACAGGUACUGUACCUUCUGGAGGGUCUACAAGAGUCCAGACCUGAUUUUGAUACAUGGAAUCCAUCUCAGAUUUCAUGGCCUCUUGCCAUCUCUUUGAGUCAAUGUCGGACAUUGCUUCAGUGUAGUCCCUAGGGUCUUCCUUUGUGUCAUUGUCACCUAGAAGGUGCAAUUCCCCAAAGUCAUUAUCUAAGCCAUACCUCUUAGGUGGCUUGCUAACCCUUUCAGAUCUACGUGGACCUAGGGGUUCAGGAACAGGGUUGUCAACUUGUCGAGUGCUUGUUUGUGGUUCAUCAUUAAUCUCAUUAAUUUCCAUCGUUUUACUUAUAGUUCCUUUGAGAACAAAUUCGUCCUCUAAAAACUUAGCAGUUUUGGCGACAAAGACUUUUUGGUCGUCAGGAUGGUAGAACUCAUAUCCCAUAGUUUCUAUAGGAUAUCCCACAAAAUAGCACCUAACUGAUCUCGCUUCAAGCUUAGUAGCUUCAAGCUUCUUGACAUAUGCUUCACAACCUCAAAUCUUAAUGUGAUUAAGACUUGGCUUUCUUCCAUGCCAUAUCUCAUAGGGCGUCUGCGAAACUGACUUGGAAGGUACUCUAUUAAGCAAGUAAGCUACUAUAUAUAGAGCGUAUCCCCAGAAUGUUACUAGUAGAUCGGCGGAACUCAUCAUAGAACGAACCAUGUUCAUCAAGGUUCGAUUUCUCCUUUUAGAAACUCCAUUAAGUUGUGGAGUUCCCGGUGGAGUCCAUUGUGAUAUUAUUCCACACUCUUUGAGAUAAUCUAGGAACUCGCUACUUAGAUACUCUCCCCCUCGAUCUGAUCUUAGGAUCUUUAUCUGUUUCCCAGUUUGAUUCUCAACUUCAUUCUUGAAUUCUUUGAACCUUUCAAAGGAUUCUGACUUGUACUUCAUAAGAUACACAUAGCCAAACUGAGAGUGAUCGUCGGUGAAUGUGAUAUAGUAGGAGAAGCCUCAUCUCGACAUAGUAGACAUAGGUCCACAUACGUCAGUGUGGAUUAACCCUAGAAUUUCAGUGGCAUGCUCUCCUUUCCCAGUGAAUGGAGAUUUGGUCAUCUUCCCUUUUAAGCAACAUUCACAAGAACCCAUUUGGUUAUUACCUAAUGGGUGGAAAUAUCUGUUUUUCGACAUCUUGCGAAUCUUAUCAAGGUUCACAUGUCCAAGUUUAAGAUGCCACAUCUUUUCUUGGUUAACUUCUUCUCUAGCCCUUUUGGGUUUUGAGGUAUUCCCGCUUUUAAUACAGUGCAUCCCACUAAUUGUCUCUAGGUGAAAAAGUCCCUCUAUCAUAUUACCAUGAGAGAUAAUACGACCGUUCAAGUAUAAAGUGCAACUCAUUUUGUCAAACAAUAUUGAGUGCCCAUCUCAUAAAAGCUUAGAGAUAGAAAUCAAAUUCUUUAUACAUGAAGGAAAAUAUAAACAAUUUUUAAGUUCCAAGACUUCCCCAGAGGGUAGUUUAAGCAUGUAGGUGCCUAUUGCUUUUGCAGAUAUCUUAGUGCCGUUCCCAACUCGCACAAUCAUUUCCCUAUUGCGCAGUGUCCUGCUCCCUAUUAGUCCUUGCAACGAAUUGCAGAUAUGUUGACUAGCAUCUGAAUCAAAUAUCCAGGAAUUGGAGCUCACUGUAAAAGCACUCUCUAUGACAGAAAUAGUCCCUUCUAAAGUUCGUGUCAUAAGGCUCGCAAUGCGCACCCUGUAUUCUUCUUCCAACGUUCAUCUUUUCCACAAUGAAAGCAUGUUCCUUUGGAUUUUAUUGCCUUCUUCUUAUGUAACCUUUUCCUUGUGAUUGCAUUCUCACUCCCACUAUCCCUUUUGAAACCUUGUUCAAACUUACAGCACAUGUCAAUCAUCUCGGUAAAAGUAUGAUCGAAUCUAUUCACUUUAUAGUUUACAAUAAACUUAGUGAAAUCAUCCGAGAGAGAUCCAAGGAAAAAGUCUUGGGCCAUUUUCCCAUCGAUGGAAGUUCCUAAACUCUCAAGAUCUUGAAAGAUCCUUUUCAUCUUUUGUCCAUAUUUAUGAACCGAUGUCCCCUUUGCCAUUUUGGCAUUCAAUAGACUACAAACAUUUGAGAAUCGUACAUUACUAGUCUCAAUGUCAUGCAUCUUAUGCAAACUUUCAACCAUGGCACAAGAAGUGUCCAUGUGCUUAUGUAGCUUCAUAAGCUCCUCACUAAGUGAAGUGAGGAUUAAGCAUUUGGCUUGUAAGUCAUCCUCAUAGUGUCUAUCAUAAUUUUGACACUCCUCAUUUGAAGCUAGUUUCGUAGGUGGUACAUGAGGAGGGGAUUGCUUAAGCACAUACAAUAUGUCUUUCACCUUUGAGACAUUCUCAAUGUGGCGAUACCAAGCAAGGAAACGUUGGCCCCUAAGGGCCCUUUUGUCAAGUAUAAUGGUGGGUGUAAUUUUAGGCAUGUCGUUAACUACAUAACAUAACAGAAAUCGUAUUAGAUUGUUGAUUUUAAAACUACUUGAUUGGGUCUUAAAUCAAAUAGUACCACCCACUAUUUUUGGCAAAUUCCACAUCCCUCAAUGGAAUUCGAGAGUUAUGUUGAACUCUUAGCGGGUAUGGGAGGCUCACCAUUACCAAGCCCACCUCACGAUGAUACGAUGUUGGUUAGCAAAAAUAAUGAUGAGAGAAUAACGCUUUAAUCAUUUACAACUCUUGUAAUUACCCAUCUAAUUUUGGCCUCUAGAAAAUGAUGCCUCACAAUGAUAUGAUGUUGGCACCAUUGCACUUAGUUAAGUUAUUCCCACCAUGCUAGUUCGUGUAGGGGUUCAAGAAUAGCCUCACAAUGAUAUGAUGUCGGCCAUCCUCGUUGCCUACCUCACCACAUCAUGUAUGUACAUAAGGACUCCUCCUGAAUGUAAGCACAUACUUUGAACUUCCCCAUGAUAGGGUGAAGCCGGUGUAGGAGUCACAAACGAUUGGAGCCCACCAUGGUGGAAGGCCUACGAAGAGAUGUUCAAAGCAUCUCUCGCUUAUCAACUUAAUAUUCGUUUUGUUGAGGGAGUAGUGUUGGGCUACAUCAAUUUUAUUUUAAUCUUAUUAAAAGAAGUUGGGCCUAUCACAACCAUUGGUCCAAGUUAAUAUGAAUUAGUAGUAUAUAAUACUCCCACUAUUUCGAUGAAACAAGCGAGACUAUAUGGAACUACUAACGAAUGCAUUGCAUCCUCAUAUGGACUAUAUAGUCAUAUUAGGUCUUAGGAUGAUUAUGAACCGUUUGAUUUGAUCCAACACGAGCCUUGUGUUGGACCUUGGGUCUAAGGUAGGUAGUUGUUGAUUUUAGUUACGUGUUUAAUCUAAUUAAACCGUUAUUUCCUAUUGGGCAUUGGACCCAACUAUUCCAAUUUGCAUACAAUGAACAAAUAGGAAUACUUGAAAUAAAGAGAAGGGCUUAUGCCCUUUUACAACACAUUAGAUGGACUUAUGUCCAUAUACAACAAAUUUGAACUAAUCAAAUUACAUUCAAAUCUAAACUACUUAACCCAAGCAUUCAUAAUGUAAAGCGGCCAAUCACAUAGCUCAAUUAUCGAGGUCUUUGGUUCAUAAUCACCCUUUUCUUAAUCAAUCAAUUUAACUAAGAAAGCAACUUAAACAAUUGGUUUUAGGAUUCAUAGAAUUGAUUUAAAUGGAACUAAAUGAAAUGAAAAUCCAAUUCUCAUUCAAGAGACAAAACCAUUUUGUUCUCAUCAUCUUUUGGGCCGAAAAGCAAUGACCACAACUAUUGGCCAUAAAUUUAAAACAUAAACUUUUGGGGUCACUUUGUAAAAACACAAGAGUCUACAACUUCAUGUAAUUACAACUAGAACCCAAAAAUUUCAACAAUAAUAAAAACUUCAUUAAAGGAGCAAAACAAUUUGUCCUUUAGCGUUUUUGGGCCUUAACGUAAAAACGCAAACUUUUGGGUCAAAGUGCAAAUACACAAAAGUAUCAAAACUUUAUGUAAUUGCAUGAAAGCCCCAAAAGUACCCCCACUAAGGGGUGGCCAGUUUUGGUGGUGAAAAAGGAGGGGGGAAAAGGUUUUUGGUGAAAAAUUCAAAAUUUGAAAGUGCUUGGUGCAAGUGGAUAGGUAGGUGAGGAAAAGUUGAUUGGGAUGGGUUGUAAGAAAAAUGUUUUGUUAAAUAAUAAAGGCAUAAAUCAUCCAUCCAUCACCAAUCAAUAAUAAACCAAAACUUUAUUCAAAGCAACAAACAUAUUGAAUCAAAACACCAAAACUUUUUGUUCUUGGUAAGAACAUCAAGAACAUUGAAGAACACACAUGAAAACUCAUAAGAGCUCCAUGAGUGUUUUCACUCAAUAAAACUCAAAUUUUCACUACACAAAAGAGGGUUAACAUCCUAGGGUACUUAGGGGUUCCAAAAGUCACUUUAAAACUCUUUUAACAAGACAAACAUGAACCAAAAUUCCACCCUUUGGAUUUGGCCGAAUCUCCCCACAUACAUGGCACCAAAUUUUAGUUCCAAUAUUCAUGCUUAAAUGAACUACAUCUACAACAUUUGAGAUGCUAAAUUUUCAAGCAAAAUUUAUAUUCAAAAGCAAGAACAAAGCUUGUAACAUUUACAACAUUUAAAUCACAAACCAUGUAAAACACAAAACCCAAAGGGAUUCACCAUAAACUAGACCUAGGCUCUUGAUACCACUUGAAGGAAAAAUUUUGUCCUAGCAAAGAACAUGUGAGAAUAUUUGAACACAUAUGCAAACUAUUAACAUAUUAAAGUAGGCAUGCAUUAAAAAACAAUUCUAAAACCCAUGACUUUCAAAGCCUAGUGAAUGGUGAACCAUGAGACUCUUCAACAACAUUAAAGAGAAGGAAGGAUUUAGAGAUUCAUUACCCUUGAAGCUCAUCCUUGUUUACACAAGGGAUUCACCCAAGUGGAGGGCCUUCAAGUCACCUCCUAGCUCCUUGGAUCUUCCUUGUGAUUUUCUACCUUUUGAUGCUCCUUUGCUCCUUGAGGAUGUGAGGAAGGGAUCUCCAAAAACACCAAAGAUUUGGUGUCUCUAAGUCUCCACACCAAGGAUGAGGUGUGAAGAUGAAUUGGAUGACUUAGAGAAGAAAAGAUUGCUAGCUAUAUCUUCUCUAAGUGGCCGGCCUCCUUUAGAGAAAAAGAGAGAAAGUGUUUCUCAUCUUUGUCUCAAGAAAACCCUAAUGAUGUAAAAGCUAUAAAGAUGCUUUUAUAUCUCUUUUCUUAGGUGAGAGGCAAACUUGCAAUUAAGCAAAACUUCCCACUACCCUUGCUAUGGCCGGCCAUCUUAAGUGAUUGGGCUAUUUGCCCAUAUUUGUUUUAGUUGUCAUACAACUUAAACAUAAUGGGCCUAGUGGACCAAACCUUUUUGGACCCCGAAGCCCAAAACUAACUUAAAAGCCCAAUACGAACCUUUCGUAAAAUUAAUUAACUAAUUAAUUAAUCUUGACCAUUCUCAAUUAAACCAUUUAAUUGCUUAUCCAUCUCAUUUAUAUUUCUUCACUUUCAUCCUUACUCGGUGUACGAUCUAUUAGGUUCCAAUUAGCGAGGCAGUGGGCGAUUGUUACUCUUAACGAUCGAUUGUGAAUUGAAACAACAUUUCAAUUCUCCCUUUGUUGAAGAUUAAUGUUUGCUAAUCUUCAGGGCUUCCACAAACCAUGAGUGACACCUAGCAGUAUGUCAUGGCUACCCAAGCUAAGUAGAAGUGGUUGGAGAACCUAUCCAGUUACAAUUACAAUGCAAUACGGUCAUUCUUUAAUACAAUACUCUUAAUCACAUUGUUUGAGUGAUAGUUUGUUUCAUGUCUACUGUCUAAUGUGAUACUUCUUUAUAUUAUUCAAUUGAAUAUGAUUUGGAACAUACUUCCUAAGUCAUAUUCGUAUGCUUUGGCCAAAGACUCCCGAAUCAUAUCUUAGAGUAUUCUCCUUCCACCAUGGAAGGUUAGAGAUCCCUUGUUGUAUAUUCAUAUGCCUACAUGACUAGAUAGCUUGACCCCAACAAUGUCGUGGACACUCUUGAUGGAAUGCCUUUGACAUGAUCAAAGAUCAAGGACCUAACCAUUAGACAACUAUGAUGUCUCAGGUCAAAGGACUACUUUGCAUAUUGCAACUAACGAGUUCUUAGAUGACAUGUAUGUUCAAACUCUCUUUUGAUCGUUGUUCAGUGUACUCGAUUACUCUUUCAAGCACCUAUGUGUUUGUCUUAGUGUCCAACACUAAAUGACUUGAGACUAGUCAUACUCACGCUUGAGUUGACAUAACACAUACUAACCUUAGCGGAUUGUCAAUGCCCAAUUGGCAAUCCUAUGGCUAGGAACGUUUUAGGAAUGAACAUAAGAGAAAGGUCUCGUUAAUCUAACUCACUUAAAUCACUUAUCUCUUAGAUCAAAUACAUUCCUUGGAUUCCCUUAUUGCUUAAACACAUGACAAUAAAUAGUGAUUAACAAUAAGCUUUGCCCUUUAUUAAACAUAUAAUAGUUUAAUACAAUAAGUAUUCCAAAAGCUAUUACAUCAAAUGAGUGGCUUUGUGGGCAUACUUCCAACAGUUUCGACUCGUAGGUGACUAGCGAUUUAUCGCAUAGAUAUCAUGAGUGUGUAGCAUUGAGCAUAACUAUAGUACACCCAGUUUUGUCGUACAAACCCUUAUAGUGGUUCCGACUCGUGUGCAGUGUAGUGCUGUAUAGGUCACUUGUAGUGACUCCGACUAGAUUAAUUAAUGAUCUAUGAAUGAAUUCGACCGUACAGACUUCUGCAGGGGUUCCGGCUAAUAUGUUAUUUUCACCUAAGUUACUUAUUCUGUUUUAUAUUUUUGGCAUGGCAUACUUAUGAUUAUGGAUAUGUGAAGCAUGAUUUGAUAUAUAUUCCAUUUCUGUGAAAAAUUAUACAUGUUUUAUUGGGAGGGGUUAAAGCAUUUGGUAAAUGAAAUGAUUUUGAAAAGCUUUGUUUUUGCCCACUCACACUUUCUGUUUUGCGCCCUUCUAGGUUUUAGGUAGGCUUGCUGUUGGUGGCAUUUGAGGAUCUCCGUAGGACCUCUUUUGGCACUGUAUAACUAGUACUUGUCCUACUGGACUGCACCCAGACUUAUAUGCUCUGAUUAGGUGUAUUUACACUUGUAUCUCAUUCCUAGCACUUUCUGCUUAGUAGUGCACAUUAAUUAGCUUUUGAUUUUUAUUUAUUCAUAUCUCUUAUCCUUAUCGCUUCUACACUGUGCAAAUGGUUACGUCACUCUCACGUGACGGCCAUCAUGCCCUGAUUGGGGUCGAGGUGUGUCAGUUUGGUAUCAGAGCCUAUGUUUAGCAGUCAUGUAUAUCUUGUGAAUAAUCGAAUCAUUAUGAUGUCUUCUGUUUGAAUUAUGCCGCCUCGUAGAGAGCCACAUCACUCAGCUGAGCCUAGUUUCCUUGAUAUUGCACAGUUAGGGAAAGUUAUAGCUAAUGCCAUUCAAUCUUCGUUCCAUCCUCCUCAGAGGACACCUCUUGAGACUGUGUAUAAUCUGAAGCUGAAUCAUUUCAUGGGUAAUGAAAGACAUGAGGGAGCGGAAAAGUGGCUUAAUUAUGUCGAAAAGACUUUCUUUGUGAUGCAGAGUCAGGGGAAUCUUCCUCCUGAUAGGUGGGUCGAGAUGACUACUUGGUUUCUAGGUCCAGAGCUUGCAUCGUGGUGGAGACAGGAGUCCUAUCAGAUGCCAUCAGAGGUAACAACCGAUUGUGAGGUGUUUAAACAGUUGUUUAAGAAAAUGUUCAUUCCCCUUGAGUAUAUUGAUCGUACGAAACAAGAAUGUACGCAUAUGAAACAAGGAAAGAUGAUGGCGAAUGAAUAUUACAGGAGAUUCACUAAUUUGUCUCGAUAUGAUCCGGAGGUUGCUGCUAAUCCGGUUGAGAUGCUUCGUCGUUUCAGGUUGGGUACUAAGAAGAAAUGGCAUUCUAUAGCUACAUCGACUCCCUGUGCUACUUACCAGGAGGUUUAUAAGGUUUUAUUGUGGAUUGAGGACUCAGAGAACAUGCCUAGUAAAAGUGAAGAUGAAGAAGAAAAGAACGGGAACCAAAGGCAAGAUGAUAAAGGUAAAGGUCAAUCAUCUCAAGGACCUCGUAAGACUCGGAGUUUUAAGAGAAGUGGUGUCAGUUCUAGCUCUUCUAGUGGAGGUUUGAGCUCUAAUGUGCAGAUGAGAGGAGAGGCAGAGGGACUUUGGUGGUUAGGUGCUCCUUUAUGCUGCAAGUGUAAUAAUAGGCAUUUUGGAGAGUGUAAGAGAGGCAUCAGUACAUGCUAUACUUGUGGACAGUUGGGGCAUAGGGCUGCACAUUGCCCUCAGAAUUAGCAGAGGCCCCAACAGCCUUCCUUACCACCACCUGCAAUGAUCCAACAAGUUUCAGGACCUAGUGGUUAUGCCCAGACUGGUCGUCAUGGUGUUUAUCAUUAUUAGGGCGAUGCCGCUCCUUAUACUUCAAGGCAGUAUCAGUACUCGCAUGACCCUCAUUAUUAGAGUGGUUACCCUCAGUAUCAACAGGUUCUAUACGAUAUCAGCCACAUUCAGCUGGUGGAUCCCAGUGGUACUAGGGGCGACAGCCUCAGUAGGUAGAGAUUGCUGUUAGCAGUGCAGGAUCUUCGAGGCAGUCUGGUCGGCUAAGACAUGGAUGGGGUAUUCAUGCUAACAGAGGUUGUGGUAGACGACAGCAGAGUCAGGGACGUAUCCAUAACAUGACACUGCAAGAUGCUCAGAACAAUCUUGAUUUAAUUAUGGGUACGUUAAAUAUUCUUCGUCAUUGUGCUAGAGUAUUGAUUGAUUGUGGUGCUAUGUAUUAUGUUCUUUCUCAUACAUUUUCUCUAGUGACGCAACCUCAUCCUACACCUUUAGGAUACAAUUUAGAGUUUUCUAUGCUUAGAAGAGAGAGAUGUUAUGUUGAUCGGGUAUAUCCAAGAUGUCCGGUGAUAAUGGAGGAUAUCGUCCUGCCGGCUAACCUUAUUCCGUUAGAUAUUGUUGAUUUUGAUGUGAUUUUGGGCACUGAUUGGUUACACUACAAUCGUGCCAAGAUAGAUUGCUAUGGAAAGACAGUUACUUUUCAUCGUCCUGGAUUACCUGAAGUUACAUUUGUAGAAGAGCCUAGCGGGGUGAGGCAUGGUGUUAUUUCUACCAUGAAAGCCAAAAGAUUGUUGUCGAAGGGUUGUCAGGGAUAUUUGGCUCAUGUGAUGUUGAAUGAUAAUGCUCCUAAUAGUGUGGAGGAUGUACGUGUGGUCUGGCAUUUUCCAGAUGCGUUCCCUGAUGAUUUGCCUGGAUUGUCGCCAGACAGAGAUGUGGAGUUCGGUAUUGAUUUGCUUCCAGGUAUGAAUCCUAUAUCUUUGACUCCGUAUAGAAUGGCUCCUGCUGAGUUAAGGGAAUUGAAAGUUCAGUUGCAGAAACUGGUUGAUAAGGGAUUUAUUCAGCCUAGUACUUCACCCUGGGGAGCUCCAGUUUUAUUUGUGAAGAAGAAGGACGGAACUUUGAGGCUAUGCAUUGAUUAUAGGCAAUUGAAUCGGGUAACAAUUAAGAACCGUUAUCCAUUGCCGCAUAUAGAUGAUUUGUUUGAUCAACUCCGAGGUGCCUGUGUGUUCUCUAAGAUUGACUUAAGGUCUGGUUACUACCAGUUGAAGAUUAAAAGUGAAAAUGUCCCGAAAACAGCAUUCAAGACUCGAUAUGGUCAUUAUGAGUUUCUUGUGAUGCUAUUCAGAUUAAUGAAUGCACCAGCAGCUUUCAUGGAUUUAAUGAAUUGAGUAUUCCAGCCAUAUUUGGACAGGUUUGUUAUUGCCUUCAUUGAUGACAUUCUGGUAUACUCUAAGUCUAGAGCAGAGCAUGCUAGACAUCUUAAAUUGGUGUUGAAAAGUUUAAGGGAACACCAGCUAUAUGCUAAGUUUAGCAAAUGCCAAUUCUAGUUAGAUCAAGUGGCAUUUUUAGGACAUGUUAUAUCAGCUUAAGGCAUUGGAGUGGAUUCUUAAAAAGUGACAGCUAUGGAGAAUUAGGAGCAACCUUGAACCGUCACUGAGAUACGAAGUUUUCUUGGCCUAGCAGGCUAUUAUAGACGGUUUGUUAAGGAUUUUUCAGUUAUUGCUUUACCAUUAACGAGGUUGACUAGAAAAGAAGUUUGAGUGGGAUGAAAAUUGUGAGCAAAGUUUCUAGCAGUUGAAGUAUUAUCUCACUCAUGCACCUGUUUUAGCACUCCCAGAUGAUAGUGGUAAUUUUGAGGUCUACAGUGAUUCUUCUUUGAAUGGUAUGGGUUAUGUAUUGAUGCAACAUGGUAGGGUGAUUGCUUAUGCUUCAAGACAGUUGAAACCUCAUAACAAGAAUUACCCUACUCAUGAUCUGGAGUUAGCGGCUAUCAUCUUUGCUCUGAAGAUUUGGAAACAUUAUCUUGAUGGUAAGAAAUGUAAGAUCUUCAUAGAUCAUAAGAGUCUUUAAUAUCUUUUUACUCAGAGGGAUCUAAAUCUUCGACAGUGGAGGUGGAUCGAGUUACUUAGUGAUUAUGAUUGCACGAUUGAGUAUCACCUUGGUCAUGCAAAUGCAGUGACAAAUGCACUUAGCAGAAAGACUCCAGCUAGACUUAAUGCCAUCUAUGAUUGUUAUGUUCCUCUUCUUGAGGAUUUGAGGUACACUGGAGUGGAGUUAGGAGUGGAAGAUCGAGAGGAAUCCUUACUUGCUAAUUUUCAAGUUAGGCCAAUUUUAAUUGAUCGUGUGCUCGAAGCCCAGAUGAAUGAUGAAGAGACACAAGAAAUAAUUCAAGCAAGGAAUUGGAGAAAGAGGAAAGAUUUUAGAAUUAGAGAAACUGAUGGCAUGCUUAUGCAAGAGAACAUAAUGUAUGUGCCGAAUAAUGCAGAGUUAAAGAAAGAAAUCCUUGAUGAAGCGCAUAUUUCGGCAUAUGCAAUGCAUCCAGGAGGUACCAAGAUGUAUCAUACCAUUCGACAAUUUUAUUAUUGGCUGGGUAUGAAAAGAGAGAUCGCUGAGUAUGUGAGUAGGUGUGCCAUUUGUCAACAAGUUAAAGCAGAAAAAAAACCUUUUGGAUUGAUGCAGCCAUUUCCCGUUCCACAGUGGAAAUGGGAAAAUAUUACUAUGGAUUUCGUGUACAAGCUUCCUCGUACACAUAAUGGUUAUGACGGCAUUUGGGUGAUAGUUGAUCGGCUCACUAAGUCAGCACACUUUAUUCCAAUGAGGGAAAAAUACUCAUUAAGCCGAUUAGCUAAGUUAUUCAUAUCGAAGAUCGUGAAGUACAAUGGUGUUCCAGUUGAUAUUAUCUCGGAUCGGGACCCUAGAUUCACUUCUAAGUUCUGGAUAGCGUUCCAAGAAGCUCUUGGUAUGGCAUAUCAUCCUCAGACAGACGGACAAUCUGAGAGAACUAUUCAGACAUUAGAGGAUAUGCUGAGAUCUUCAAUGCUGCAGUUUGGCGAUGGUUGGCAUGAUUGUUUGGAUUUGAUGGAGUUCGCCUACAACAACAGUUACCAUUCGAGUAUUGGUAUGGCACCAUUUGAAGCACUCUAUGGCAAGUCUUGUCGAACGCCAUUAUGCUGGUCAGAAGUUAGCGAAAGAGUUUUGGUGGGCCCGGAGAUUGUGGAUGAAACUACCCAGAAUAUUCAGGUAAUUAAGUCUAACUUGAAAGCGGCCCAGGAUCGACAAAAGAGCUUAGCAGACAAGCAUGCCACUGACCAGAUGUAUAAUGUAGGUGAUUGCGUAUUUCUAAAGCUAUCACCAUGGAAAGGUGUUGUGCGGUAUGGAAAGAAAGGCAAGCUGAGUCCUAGGUAUGUUAGACCGUAUAUGAUCACCGAGCGAGUCGGUGAGGUUGCUUACAGGCUUGAGUUGCCUCCAGAGUUGUCCAAAGUGCAUGACGUGUUUCAUGUUUCGAUGCUUCGACAUUAUGUCUCGGAUCCUUCUCAUGUUAUACCUCCUCAACCUUUGGAAAUUAAUCCGGACUUGUCUUACGAUGAGGAGCCAGUGACUAUUUUGGAUUGGAAGGAUAAUGAGCUGAGGAAUAAGACAGUGCAUCUGGUGAAAGUUCUAUGGAGAAAUCACUCAGUGGAAGAGGCUACUUGGGAAACAGAGGAUCGGAUGAGAGAGAUGUAUCCACGCUUAUUUUAUAACUAUUAGUGGAUGUAUUUGUUGUGUAUAAUUUUGAGGAUGAAAUUUUAUAAGGUGGGUAGAUUGUCACAGCCCGUCCCGAAAUAUUUAUUUUUGACAAUGUGAAAUUACUUAUUUACCCUUGGACAUUUUGUGGUUAUGUGGGUUAAGUUUUAUUUGGACCAAUUCAAAGAUUUUCCUAAGUUUUGGAACACUUAGGACCAACACUUAGGACUUAAAGUGUUUGUUUUGUGUAUUGGAAGACCAAGUAGGACCACCACGUAGGACCACCACACACCCAACUUUUUCCCUGGGCACUCUCUCUCCCCUCCCUUUCGAUUUUUCUGCAACGUCCGUACAAGUGUACGGACAAAUCUUCAACCCUCUUAUUCAGAUGCAGAUCGAUGUCAAAAAGGUAAAAUUCGAACUCCUUACAAGCUUUUGAGUUCGUAUAUACUAUUUUUAGAACUUGAAAACUUCAAAAACCCCGAGAACUCUAACCCCAGAUUUCAUGCACUAAUUAAUGUGAGGUUUUUAGGAUUUUUUAAGGACAUAGGGAGCUUUGAAUCAUCCUCAUGAAGCUCGGAGAAGAAAAACCAAGCAAUUUGGACGUCGGGAAAUUGAGUUCGACGAGUUUUAAGUUUUCACUUGAUUAUCGAGCUUUCUUCAACGAGUUUUCGUGGAUUUCAAGCCUUGAAAUUGGUAAGGGUGUGUUCUUCUAGUUAUAAGCUUUAAAUUGAGACCAAUUUCAUGAGUUUUGGGCAAGAAAUGACUAAGAUACAAGGAUUUUAAGAUUUUCUAGUUUCCGGCGACGGCGACGGUUGCCGGAGUUCGAAGGUAGAAGACAGAGAAUAUUCCAUCAAAGUUUGACGGAAUAUUCUGACGCCGUCAGGUAGAAUUAACGGUUUCUAUUACUUUUUAACGGAAUAUUCCAAACAGGGUUAGGGGAUUCUGUUAAGGUUCCUUGCGCGUGGCCGCGGGUAGGGCCGUGCCUUUGUCAGCGCGUGACGAUGCGUAAGGGCUCCAAAAAUUAUUUUAAAAAUUUGGGCAUGUUCAUGGAGUUGUGUAGGUCACGAUGGUAUAUUUAUAUACCUCAGUUGAGCAAUGUAUGAGAAGUUAUUAGCUAGUAUUGGUUAUGUGCUUUAAAUUAACAUUUUUAUAGUUGUUUCGCAUAUAGGGAGACUUAUCCCGAGGACGAGCGCAGUCAAGGGCGACUCGGGGGCUACGACCCUUCGACAUACUAGCGAGUGGGCUUUUGGUUUUGAGUAUAUACUUAUAUACUUGAUAUUUUCCCAGAAAAUGCGUUUAAAUGAAAGUAUGCUUUGAAAUGCCAUGCAUAUAAAUUUAUAUUCAGUAUAUGAAUUAGUAUAUGAUGCAUAAUAUAUUAUUGUGGUGUUGUGGAUGCUCAAGUAAGCUCAUGUGAGUUUAUGAAUUUUGAAUGUGAAUAACGGUUGUGAUUAAUUAAGAAACAUUGAACUCAUAAACCUGCACCCCGAAGUUAGUGAUUUAGCUAGAGAUAUGGCACAUGCCUGUUUAUAAUGUCACCUCACGCACCCUAUGCUCACAUUGGAUCCAAUUUAGGUGCACAGUCUUGUCGUACAGACCAUCAUAGGUGGUUCCGACUCGUAGGUGACUAGCGAUUUAUUGCAUAGCUAUCAUGAGUGCGUAGCAUUGAGCAUAACUAUAGUACACCCAGUCUUGUUGUACAAACCCUUACAGUAGUUCCGAUUCAUGUGCAGUGUAGUGUCGAAUAAGUCACUUGUAGUGACUCCGGCUAGAUUGAUUAAUGAGUUAUGAAUUCAACCGUACAGACUUCUGUAGGGGUUCUGGCUAAUAUGUUAUUUUCCAUGAAUUUAUUUUCACCUGAGUUACUUAUUCUGUUUUAUAUUUUUGGCAUGACAUACUUAUGAUUAUGGAUGUGUGAAGCAUGAUUUGAUAUAUAUAUUCCAUUUCUGGGAAAAAUUAUACAUGUUUUACGGCGAGGGGUUAGAGCAUUUGGUAAAUGAAAUGAUUUUGAAAAGCUUUGGUUUUGCCCACUAACACUUUUUGUUUUGCGCCCCUCCAGGUUUUAGGUAAGUUUGCUGUUGGUGGCAUUUGAGGAUCUCGGCGGUUCUGACAAAAUAUAAUAUCCGUAGGACCUCUUCUGACACUGUAUAACUAGUACUUGUCCUACUGGACUGCACAUAGACUUCUAUGCUCUGAUUAGGUGUAUUUACACUUGUAUCUCAUUCCUAACACUUUUUGCUUAUUAGUGCACAUUAAUUAGCUUUCGGUUUUUAUUUAUUUGUAUAUCUCUUAUCCUUAUCGCUUCCGCAUUGUGCACAUGGUUACGUCACUCUCACAUAACGGCUAACAUGCACUGAUUCGAAUCGGGGUGUGUCAUCAACCCCAAUAGUUAGAGUUGAUCUAAGGAGUUGCAUGCAUUAUUCAAUUUAGAUAAAUAAAAGAUGUUAAACAAGUUUAGAACUCCAUUACGCACCGACAGAUCAUAGGCGUCACGCACUGCGUCAGGGAUUGAAUGGAAUCUAUGCAAAUAGAAUGUGCCACGUUUUAAUUAAUCUGGAUGACAACGCAUGUAUGCAAAUGAAAUAGACAGAAUACUGUUGCUGGAGUAGUGUUCCAGAAAACCCUUCCAAAAGGUGGCAUUAAUGUAAUUUUGCCAAACUGAGAUGGAGUCGAAACGAUUCAACUGCUUUCUUUGACAAUGGAAACUUAAUCAAGAAAGCAUGUGAUACACAUUUCAAUCAAUAGGUGUAAAAAACUCAGUUUUUUCGAUUUGAUGCGAAAUUGCAAGGGUCCCAAUUCCCUCAGAACUUCAAAUGGUCCAUCCCUUCUUAUCUUAACAUUACUCAUGAAAUUUUUCCUUUUAAUAGUCAGUCAUAUGCAGUGUUGGCUUUGAGGGGAGCAACUUGUGCAAUUGCACAGGGCCUCCAACUUUUGGCUGAUAUAUCGUUAGAUAAUUAACUUUUCAAAUUGAUUACUUUGAUUCUUGUUUAGGAUGAGAAAAUGGAGUAAGAGAUAAAGAGAUUAAGAAAAGAAUGUGUGGAUUUUCAAUUUCAAAAUUUUAAUAUCACUUGUUGCUGAAGAUCUGUCUUUGGAUUUAGUGUUUUACUAUAUUAUCAUCAUUUGUUUUGUUUCAUGGCUUUUUUUAUCUGUUCACUAGUGAUUUUGUUGAUUUUAUCACAUAAUUUUAGUUAUAAAAUUUCUUUUAAUUUUGAUAUUAAUACAUGGUAAAUGUUUAUUGUUUCAGUACAUUUGUGAGAUUAUGUAAUAAGGUACUAGAGCAAAAUGGUCCAUUUAUAAUUUCCACACAGGACUCCUAACAUCUAGGAGACAACCCUGAUCAUAUGAGUUUUACUUUUUGUUUUCACAAUAUAUGAAUUUUAUUUUUAAGAAAUUUGGACGGUACGAAAAAAAUUUUAUUCAUAAAAAAGAAAAGAAAUUGCACCUAGUUAAGAUCCAGAAAAGAAAGGGAUAUGAAACCUAAUCUCUCCAACUCCAAAGCAAACCUAAGAAAGAAGUAAGAACUCCAAAACACUAUAAACAAGAGAUUUGGUAAAACUAAAAAUCACAUAUCAGGAGGGAGAGAAAUCUGUAAAUUGGGAUACUAUCAGCAAUAGUAUUCCCCUAAAACGCAUGCGCUUCAUUUGCACUCACCCAUUCCUCCAUCUGAAGCAAAGAGACCGUGGAAGGAAAGUAGAGGAGGAGCUCAGACAAGAAAUGACAUUUACAUGACUACUUACAAUCAGACUCACUACAAAGAAUAACUGCUUGGGCGACUAAGGGGCAAGUGUCGCACAAAGACCAAUACCUUCAUUGGAAACAUUGGGCGGCAAAGAGAGCAUUACGCAAAUUCUGUCGCGCAAAGCUUGUGAUGUCAGACAUUGAGCGACGGAGGAAAGCGCUUCAUCACGCGAAAUGAAGGUUGCGCAAUGGAAUUAGUGGCCGUUGUGCGUGAUCGAGCGUCGAAACUAGGGUUCGAUCCCCAAACUCUUGAGCGACGGACAUAGAGGGUCGACCCCUAAACUGUUGCUCGAUGGACAUAGGAGUUCAACCCCCCAAACUCUUGUGCGACGGAUAUAGAGGCCAUCGCAUUAAGAUUUUAAAAUUAGUUUUUUUUAAAUAAUAUUUAUUUAUUUAUUAUUAUUAUUAUUUUCCUAGGAAAAGGCUUUGUUGUUGUUGUAUUAUUUUUUUUGCUUUUAAAUGUUGCUAAUAUUGUUUUAUGUAAAAACUAAUUUAAUGAAAUUAAAAAUAGAUAAUGUAAAGAAGAAUAUUGAAUUAAAAAAUUAUUGAAAAUGUACAUACAAUGAAAAAAAGUAUUUUUAAAUUUGAAAACAAUUUAAAACAAAACUAAAAUAGGUAGUCGUCCACGUCAUAAUCGCCUGCUGGUGGUGUUGCUGCUGCGUUUGAGGGAGGGCUAGAAGGUCGUAGCUGUUGCGGCCGGGGGCUGGGAGGUCAAUUCUGGAAGCGGUUCAACAUUGGGGAACUGAAUGCCACAGAUUUGAAGUGCGCGACGAAUUUGGUUCAUCAAAUUGCUUUGGGCCACAAUAUGAGACUGUUGGGUGGCAAUUUGCUGGGCGGCAAUCCGCUCAUUCAGGUUCGCCACUUCAGAUGUCAGUGUUUCGACCUUUUCUGUUCUCUGCCUGGAGGAUGAGGCAGACGGGUCCCGAAGGCGGGCUUUCCCAAGCCCCCCAUGCAUACGACUAAGGUCUGAUCAUGUGUCUGUCAUGAUCUGAAAAUCGGCAUCCUCAAGGGGAAACACCUCAUCGAUUAGGGUCUCUAGGGGAAGCUGGGAAGCCACCUCCUCCAGAACGGUUUGGCCCUUCUCCAUCAUGGUAGACUAUAAAAAUGAAAUAAACAAAUUAAUAUUAAUACUAAUACUAAUUGAAUUGUAAAAAAUUGAAAUAACUUACAUGAAGCUGCUCCGUCAGCUUAUCCCUGGGCCGAUUGUACACCUCCUUGAACAUGUCAAUCACCGGAAACUUUGAGCCCCCCUGAAAGAAUUUAAAAAAUGUUAACAUAGAUUACCAAUUGUGUAAUAAUGAGUAAAAAGAUUGCAAACUUAAAAUAAAUAUAUGGUUACCUUACGUCGCUCCUCCAACCUAUAAGAGAAGCGUCGUGAGCCAGAUCGGUGAAGAAGUUUCUUCUUCGACCGAUUGAUCAAGUUUGCCUUCACCAUUUUUGUUGAAUAAAAAAACGUAUUAGUUUAGAUAUUUAUAACAAAUGAAUGAAAAUAUGAAUUUUUUAUUUAAAAUUGUAAAACUUUUGAUUAAUAUUUUAUUAAAAUAUAUAUUAUACUUACAAGGUAUUUCUCAUCUUGAAAAUGGCCGCAGAGCCACUCCCAUUCAUCUCGAUGGUCCACCAACUCUAUAGGGCAUCUAACUGCUAAAGCAACCUCCGGACCGUCAUAUAGCUCAUAAUGCUUGUGGAGGUCGCUCUUCCAUUGAGUGAACCUACCGGCGCAAAGGUCGUUGAUGUACUUGCUUUUGAUUGGCAUCGAGGUUGGAGAGCUCGUAGUGAUGCUGCAAAACUCAACAAAUAAAUAGUAGUUAAAAUUUAUAAUAUUCGUAUACUUUAAUAAAAAUUUAGUAUUAGAGGUUGAAAAUACUUACUGAUAAUUCAUGAAGAACAUCUUCCUUGACUUCAUGUGGGACAGCUUUCCAUGACUCCCACAUGAGGGGUCAAUAGUUCCUGAUAAUUGAGCCAAUGUUGGUGGCCAACGCAUUGUGUUGCUCCUUUGUUGCAGCCACACGAUGUCGAGGAUCCCACGUAAUGGUGAUCUUCUCAGUCAUGGUGCAAGUGGUUUGUGAUGUCCUCAGUAGUCGGCAAACGCCCCUGGUUUUUUUUUUUUUUUUUUUUUUUUUGAACUACCUAAUAAACAAAUUAAACAUUAGACGAAUUCUAUUUUCUACCGAAAAUUUGGCAGAACCUUUCGUAAAACUAUAACAUUUCUUUAAACCUGCAGAUAAUAUAACAACAAAAACAACACAUCCACCCAACAAUUCAAAUAGUUUAUACCAAUUGGGGACGUAAAUUUACAACUUGUUGAUAUGACUUCACACUACGAGUCUGCAACAAGUUUUGGCUUCCAAGGCCGGGUGUGCCAACUUAAAUCGUUUACAAUAAUGAUUCUACUAAUAUAGAAAGCAUCUGUUUGUGGGAUUACACGAACUCACAAGAAUAGAGGCAAAGCACUCAAAGUGAAGUUCUUAGUAAGUUCGUUCCAAUUAACGAGAAAGUGACAAUUUUGAAGGUUCAAGCAUGUCUAAAGACUAAUGUCAAUGUUGCUUUGACCAUCAUGAAACCAUAAGUAAUCUUAUCAAUGGACAAAUUAAGCUUACCUGUUUGGGACCCCUCUCCAUGGACAGAUGAAGCCUCACCAAACUGCUGAGCCUUCUCAGAACUCUGGGGCCGUCAAUGAGUCCGCCGGGCACUUAGUGUAGGAUACGUCACCGAAGAAGUCGAUGAUGCAGGAGCUGUAAACACUAUUGGCCCCAAAGACAUGACCGGGGGGACAUUCGUUGUGCUCAUAUCAAGUGUGGAGAUGGUAGCAACAGUAACUCCUGGAUAAGGUCAGACUACCCCUACUAGCUGGCUGCUGGUUUGAUAUUAAGUUCAACAUCUACAAAAACAAUUAAUAAAAAAGUUACAUUCCACUACUUUAAUCUGGUUUGGAUAUACUAAAAAAUAUCAUAACCUUGAAGCAAAUUAAGAUAUAUUUUUAAUUUCAUUAAUACCAUUAAAAAAGGAAUCAAAUUAUCAAAUAUACGCGCAAAGUAUAUAUUCAUGCACAAUAGGAACAUCUAUAGUAUCCCACAUGCCUAUAUGUAUAACCUAUUUACAUGCCUUAUGCAAACCUAUAUGAUAAACAUGAGAAAAAAAAGAGUUAAAAGGACAAAACAUGCAGAUGCAGGGAAACAGUACAUACAACCUCAAAAAAGGUUUUCCUUGUCGGUCAGUUGAACUGAUGAGCUCUUCCAGAAUAAGGAAGCAUGCAGUCAAUAAACCUUGUAUUGAAAAACAGUUUGCAAGACAAUGCAACUUGCAAGGAAUCGAUGAAUGAUGGAAGAGGGCAAGCAUGUACUUAUUCUGGUUGGAGGUAAGGAUGAAUAUGUGUGUGUGUAUGUGUGUGUGUGUGUGUACUUAUGUAUCAUAUUGAAGACAAUGCAACUUGAAAAACAGUUUGCAACACAAUAGUCUUAAACAGAAAUAGCAUAGUGCGAACAACACUCUCACUAAUUUACCAUAUCAACUUAAUGUCUAAAAGACUUAAUUAUCGGUGUAGAAUUAGCCAAUUAUUCUAACUGGUUAGCCACAUGUAUUCUUUAUUGAACGCAUCCUUUAAACAAACCAAAAGGAACCUUACGACAUAAGCGCGUACAUUACAUAUUAAUAUGCAAGAUACAAGACAAAACAAUAUAAAAUUAUGAACCCAUUAAUCUACAACAUCAUAUCUUGAUUGCAGAAAACACUUUUUGAUAAAUUUUUUGAAACAUGCAUGCUUUAGUAGCAUGUCAAUCAGUUUGUACAAAAUACCAUAAAAUUUCCUUAGCAUGCAAAUUAAUCACAAUCUCAAUGAAAGAAUAUCACAAUCUUUCCUCCACAAGAUAUCCCAUCCAUUCCUCAACAUUCGUUUAAACAUUUAUGAUGGAUACUCAAAAUCAUACCAAAACUAAUCCAAUAGUAAGAGCUAAUAAAACCAAUAGAGAUAUAAUUUAUGGUUUUGCUAUUUUCGAAAUGCAACCUUAACUACAACUUUCAUAAUCACUCGAAAAGCUAGCUGCUGCCAUCAUGCAUUAUUUAAUAUACAUGUAUAAAUGACUUGCUAGUUACUAUUGCACAAAACAAAACCAAUUCAUGCAAUUGUCUCUAAAGUAAUUAUAGAACAGGUUACAAAAAGUUAUUAUGCACAUUUUAGGAGAUGUAUCAAUAAUUUUAGGUCUUAUAACUUGCAAAAUCAUUAUAAAGAUCAACAUAUAUGAUGAACAAAUUAUAUUUCUCGCAAGUGCACGAAUCAAUAAGAUAGUGUAGCAAGCAAAUACGAGUGUCGUACCCACAGGGAUUUGCAAGGUCACCUAACUAAAUCCAAUUUUGUAGUACCCACUAGAAUUAAAAUAACGAAAACAACUAAACCACGAAAUUCAAAUAAUUAACCAAGGAGAAGUUGAUCAAGUAAUCUUAAGUGCAGUAAAUUAAAGAGAAUUUAUGUAAAUAAUUUCUGAAAACAAUGGUGAAACACUAGGUAUCCAACUUCACCAUAUCAAUCCAAUUCUAUGUCAUUAGAUAACUUAGUAAAAACAAUUCAAUUUAGGUUCUAGGGUUCGUUCUCUCUUUAUUAUGAUUAUCCGUUAGGCGUCCGGGUGUAACCGUAUUCUUAAUCAUCAACUUAAUCACGGCGUCCAGUCUAAGUCAAUAAUCAAAAAUCCAUUAAUUGCGAAAAGAACAAAGAAAACCAAAAAGUGUCUUAGCAUGGCGUCUGCAUCAACAACAAUUGAUUCAUACAAGAGAGCUAUCUCAAGGCUAAGCAUAUGGCGUCUACUAUAACCUUGUCUCAUACAUCUAAAAAUUCAUAUUAAGGUAGCUAAUCAAUAACAUGAACAUAAAGAAUGAUAUAAGCACAGUGGAUGAAACUAGAAACCGUGAAUUGAUAAAAGAAUGAAUUAACUAAGACAUAGAAUUAUCAUGAAGGCUACAUCGGAUCCCUAACAAAGAAUUAGUUCAUCACGACCAUCAAAUUAUAAUAAGACAUAAGUAUCACAAUCAUGAAAAAUAAUGGAGAACCCCCUCGGCGUUGGCGUCUUCCUUAGGUCAAUCCUCUGUGAUGAAGUGCGACUCCCCUUUUUCCUCCCUGCUAUUUUUCACGUUUUUCUUCUUAAAUAAACAUCUAAGGAAUAUAUAGGUAGGUUUUGUUAGGCUUGCUUUGCGGAAAUUGUUGAAUCCCAGCCCAAACAGGAAUCCCAACAUCAUCAGACUUUGGUUUCCUGAUCCAAACUAGACUCCACUUCUGCGUAAAAUUCCUGAACUGACCUUCUCAUACUAAAACAGGUAUAACUUCUUCUAGAAGCAUCCAAAUCAUGAUCUAUAAAAUUCAGCCGAAACUAAACAUCCAUAGCUUUCCAUGCAAAUGUGACACAACACCUAGUUUGUCCUGAUGAAUUUUUGACGUACCAAUGAAAAUGAUAGUUCUGUGUAGCACCUUCCAGCUCCAGUUAUAAUUUUCACAGAGCAGCCAUUAAGUUGUGGAUUGAACAAUUUAAUAUUUGAUGAUUGUUGGAAUGCUUCUUGACUUCAAUUCUUCUCAGUUUUGGUCCCUUUUAGUCUUGAAAUCACCAAAAGACUCCAAAGUCUUCUCUACGGCCCAUUAUCUGUUGGAAAUGUGCCCUAAAACCAAUCAUAUGAUGAUACUUUACGGACAUUUCACAUGUUAAACUAAUCUAGUUUAAUAUCAAGGGCAAAGAUUAUUGUUUGAGCCGUCUCAUAUAAAUGUUAUACGCUUAAACGAUAAGUCUAAGGAAUAUGUGAUUGGGAGAAUGCGAUCUAAAGAAGUUAGAUUCAUGAGACCAUUCUUUCGUAGACACAUCCUAAACGUUCCUGAUCAUAGGAUUGCCAAUUGGGCAUUGACAGUCCGUUAAGAUCAGUACGUGCUGUGUCUUCUCUCAGGGAGAGUGACUAGUCUCGAGUCAUUGGUGUGUGUGACAUCAAGACAAGUACGUAGGUGCUCAAUAGAGAAUGAGUUCACUGAACACGAUCAACGAAGAGUUCUCAUAUUCAUGUCACAUGAGAACUCAUGGUUGGGAUAAUGCAAAGUAGUCCUUUUGACCUGAGGCAUCAUAGUUGUCUUGUGGUUAAGUCCUUGAUCUUUGAUUAUGUCAAAGUCACCCAUCCGCGGGUGUCCACGGCAUCGUUGGGGUUAAGCCACUUAGCCAUGGAGGCAAGUGAAUGCGCAACAAGGGAUCUCUAACCUUCAAACCGUUUGAGGGAGAAUACUCUAUGAUAUGAUUAAGAAUCUCUGGCCAGAGUAUGAAUGAGAUUUAGGAAGUCGUUCCAAAUCACAUUCAAGGUAAUCAUAUAAGCACACGAAUCACAUUGGAUAGUAGACAUGAAUAAACUAUCAAACCAAACAAUGUGGUCAAGAGUAUUGUAUUAGAGAAAGACCGUAUUGCAUUUGUAAUCCUAAACUGAAUAGGUUCUCUACCUCUUCUGAUUAGCUUGGGUAACCAUGAUAUGCUGCUAGGUGUCACUCAUGGUUUGUGGAAGCCCUAAACGUGUAUAAUCACUAAAGGGAGAAUUGAAAGUAAGUUUCAAUUCACAAUCGAUUUGAAAGAGUUUUAAUCGCCCACUGCCUCGCUAAAAGGAACCUAAUGGAUCGUACACCGUGUAAGGUGGAGAUUGAAGAAACAAUGGAGAUGAGUAAGAAUAAUUAAAUGGUUUAAUUAUUUAUGGCAAGGAUUAAUUAAUAUGUUAAUUAAUCAAACGAAUAAGUUCGUUAAAAGACCACGGGUUAGUUUUGGACCUCAAGGCCCAAUGGGCUUCGAACGUCAAGCCCAUUGACUUAAGUUGUAUGACAACUUAAUGAAUAAUAAUUCACAAAGG